RNAcentral lists this long non-coding RNA (57827 nucleotides) under Setaria viridis. RNAcentral describes it as "long non-coding RNA (SVIR_LNC008572)". Lineage: Eukaryota; Viridiplantae; Streptophyta; Magnoliopsida; Poales; Poaceae. The record is from RNAcentral.
CUCCAAGUGCUGAUCUGAAGCUGAAGAUGCUCUGCAGUGGAAUAAGUUUGCUAGUAGAGAAAGGAGUUAAAUGUUUGUAAAACUGUGUGUCAUGUGUAUUCUGAGAGAUGCAUUGUUCUCACCGGCUGGACAAGAAAGUAGUCUGAACGAUUUCUGUAUGCAGGCAGUAACAGUAUUUAAGACUUUUUGAAUUUUCAGGCUACUGCUUGGUGUCAGUAAACCUAAUCUUCUGAAGCUUUUGUACAAACCAACCUACUAGACUGGGGGGAAGUGGGGAGCAGCGUUGCUGACCAUGUAGUAAUCUUCGCCAACUUCGCUUGGCGUGGGAGGUAGCCGCAGUAGUUCAUGUGCGCCUUUGUCCUUGAAGAAGCGGCUCAGGGCAAGUAGCUGAUCAUCGCUCAGACCCGGCGCCGGUUGCACGACCAUGCUCUUCGGCUUCCCGCUGUUGAUCCACUCUUCGAUCACGGAGGUCGCAUCCUUCCUGGUUUCAACAACCCUGACAUCCCGUGGGCUUGGCUUUUGCAACCAGUCCAAGAACUCCUCCCCCAAACGUGCGGCCUGGUUCACCGUCACAAGCUGCGCCACCGCGGGUGCUAUCUUGGACCCGAACGGGACUCCGCAGACCUCAGCCAUAGUGCCAACAACCUCUGCUAGAGGUCCAACCCUCUCAAUAUGCUGUCGGCCAAUGCUGAUGGCGCUCCUCGCCAUCCCGCCCAGGCUCUUGGCGCUCAGAUGGGGCAUCAACUGGCUGCUACGCCUGGGACCUGCGGCUUGAACAACAGGUGAAGCGGGAUUGAACCACCAGAUCACGAUCUCCCGGCAAGAGGCGCUGCUGGCGAGAACGUCCACCUCCACAACCUUGACUGUUGGCAAAGCUGUUUCCAGAAGAUCGACUGCAACUGUGACGGCCUGGUAAAUCUGCUUUGCUCCGGACAUGACCAGGAAGGUAAUGUUACAGGCAUACGUAGGAUCGAACGCGAGCAGCUGGCCAGAGGAAGAGGGGAGGCACAUCUCGCGGGGAACAUCGAACAACAGCUCCCAAUCCCCCUCCUGGAGGUACCAAGUCCUCACCGAACCACCAGCAGAUCGGAGGAGACAGAUCCUCCCGUUGGUGUAGGCCAUGGAUUGCCCCGUAACACGGGCCUCGUCGUCCUCCAGACCCAACUCGUCGGCCUCCGCCCCAUGGACAGGAAACGGAACCAACCUUGCAGUAUCGGCGUUCGGAUCGAAGAGGAGCACCAGCCCGUGCUCCUCAUCCAUGAAGACGUGCUGCCUCAUGGUGUCCUGGCACAGCACGCCAUCCGGCUUGAAGGUUGGCGGCAGCUCCUCCUCCUUCCAGAUGCCCCAGUGGUCUUCGUCGUCGCCGGAAGGCGCGUGGAAACGCCGGGGACGCACCUCCUUGGUCGUCCAGGAAGACGACGACGAGCAGUAGACGAGCGCGCGCAGGUGCGCCCGCCUGGGCGCCGGCGCCGCCGAGGAGGAAGAGGACGACGCGCCCGCGCGCUGGUCCGCUCGCCUGGACGCUGCCGCCGGGGAGGACGAGGACGAGGAAUCCUCUGCUCCAAGUAGGGUGAUCAGGUAGUGCCCGCCGCCUCUGGGGCCAGGGACAAUCCCGAUGCCACCAAGCAGCGCCGCCUCCAGGACGCCGUGCUCGGCGAGGUGCUCCGGGAUCGGUGGAACCAGGUCCACCGAGCCGCUUCCGGGGCGGCAGACGAGCAGGCGUGGAGGGCUGCUGGGACGCCCUUGCUCCUCCGACUCGGACCACACGGCCACGAGGAUGUUGCUCUCCCCGUCGGUGCACAGGACGCGCCCGACGACGUCUUCAGCAUGGUCGCCAGCGGCGAGCAGCGCCCGGGCCCGGCUGAUGGAGAGCUCGGAGAGCUUCGGCGGCUUGGCGCAUUUGACGGCGUAGUGGAUGCCGGCCGGGAACUUCUCGGCAUCAACGAACUGGGGCGUCCGAUGGAGCAGCGCCCACGCGCGGUCCUUGAGCGCCGCGGCGCCGGCGCCGGCGAGGGGAGACCCCAUGCGGCCUCGGUCGGAUUGGUGGGUGGGGGUGGCCCGGUGGUGGUGGGGGUGGUGUGGUCGGUGGCCGAGGGGGUUUAGGGGGAGGGAAUGGGGUUGGGGGCACUCGACGUCGUAUAAGAAGAAGGGAGGGGAGGGGAGGGGAGGGGAGACAGCCUGGACAUGGGAUCCUCGUUUGAAUCCCCGAGUGUGAUUCUGUUAUUGCCAGGUCACAGGGUGGGCCCCCCCCCGCUUCCACGGAUGCAUGCCUAGCGGCGGCGGCCCGGAUGAACGCGCCUCCCAGAGAAGGUUCUAGACGCGGACGCUCGAUCGAGUGAGCACGUCGCGGAGGCCCAAGGAGAAGGAGGCCAGCCGAUCCCCGAGCUCGAGGACGCCAAUGGCCGCCGCCGACCUUUGGAUGCAACGUACGUUGUCAGCUCGUCGAGCACGUGGUACGAAGCAUUGCAUCGAGGCGCCUGGCCGUUCACCGUUGCCAUCAAACCACGACGGCACGGCGGUGAGCACGGAUUAAUAUUGGAGCCCAGCGGCGAGCGAGUCGGUCGCUGGCGGUGAGCACGCCCGCCGAGUACACGGCGAGCGAGUCGGUCGCCGGUGGUGGCUGGAGUCGCUUCCUGCACAUAACAGAGAAAAUGAAAAAACUGCUUUCUCAGGGCAUAAAAAUGAAACAGCAGCUUCAGUCCUUCAAGGUUUUUCUUAACAGUCAGGUUUUUCUCAGGGCAUAAAAAUGAAACACCCGUUGACGUUGAGGAACAGGAAGAUGCGGAGGGCUGAUCACCUUGAAGUCGUCCUCAAGAGAACGCAACGCUUGAUGUACCUCUGGAAAUCGAACUUGCUGCCAGGGGCAAGAAAGAUGGCCGGACAGCUGGCCGGAAUCUGCGUCCGUAACCUAAAUGUACACGUGUGUUUGAGAGGCCCGUUGCCCGGCUGACGUUGCUGGCCGUGCCAACAGCAAGUACUCUUGGAGCCGGCGGCAGUGAGCACGUCCGCCCAGUACACGGCUCCAGCAUGUCGUCCAAAUAUAACGAACUCUGCAUGCGCCUGCCACCUCGGCGAGGCCGUUAAUCCGUCAUCAUUGCCUAGCGCUGCACCACCGGCACGGCGGCCUCGCUCGGGGCUGCGCGCCAGCCGGGCGGCGACGUCCGCGCUGCACGCCCGCACCGGACGUGCUGGCCGGGCCGCAACACUGUCAUCCACCGCGCCACGAGCACCGAUCUUUCCCCGUCGCCCGCGAGCUCGUGUGUUGUCGAUGACGGCAGUGCACGGUCACACGGGUGGUCACAGCCGAGCAUAUUACAUGUAAGCAGAGUAAUAAUGGCAUGAAAAGUCACAUAUUACUGGUAAGCAGAGUAAUAAUGGCAUGUCAUCAUCAUGAUAUGGUUCGUAUGUGUUCAUAUCCACACGUAAUUAAGAUCACACUCGCACAAAUCACAGAUUCACAGCGCGGGCAUGGCGGCGGGCUCCUUCUCCUCCUGCUGGCAGAGGAACGGCGCGUCGGCGUUGGCGUCGCUGCAGUAGAGGCAGGGGUGCUGCUCGAACCCCUUCUCGCGCAGCACCUCCCUGGCCCGGGUCACCACCUCCCGGUUGCUCACCGGCGCCGGGUGCGCCGCCAGCACGGCCUGCACCGCGCUGCUGAACGCGCCGCACGCCUUGCUGCCCCCCUCCCCCGCCGCCUCGUCGUCGUCCCCCGACACGUCCGCGGACGUCUCGUCCGUCUGGCACCCGCUCAGCAGGAUCCCGCCGUCGGGGCUCGGCGCGCUGUCGUGGUGGCGCGGGUGGUGGAACUUGUCGCUGGCGUCAGCGCCGAAGAGCGCGAGGAGGUGGUCAGCGACGUGGUGGGACGCGCCGAGACCCGAGGCGCCGGAGAGGUAGCCGACGACGGCGGCGUACGGGAGGAAGCGGGCGCGGGCAGAAGCAGCUGGUGGUGCACGGCUGUCGACGGCGAGGUCCCCUGGUCGAUGAGUCCGCCGCUGUGGCCAGAGUCGGACACCAUGGUGAAGGUCGCGCCCUGCGGCACACUGUCCACGAGCUGCCGGAAAUCCACGUCCGUGAUGAGGUUGAAGUCGCAGGGCACGAUGGCCUCGUCCGUCAAUUGCUGUUGAUACGAUCAUUGAGGGUAUCUGUGGGUGCCAAUGCAGUUCUUUCAAAUCUCUCUGGCCCUGCUCAUACAAACAGUCAGGGUCAUGUAUUUCACUCUUUACAAGCAAUAGAACUGUGCAGGAAAAAUGAUGCAGCCACCAACGGUGAGGCCAUAAGUCGGUUAAUUUCUAACGCCAUCGUGAUAAAAUGAGAGAAAAAUUUAAUAGUAGUACCUGAUGAACAAAGAGAAGUUGUGGGGGUAAAUCUUCAGGUGCAUUUGCCUGCUCUUUCAUCUUCGCUCUGAACUCAGCUUCCUCUUCUGCAUCUCUUUCCAAUGAAAGGUCCCAAAUUCUAAAUCCAGACAAUUCAUGAGAGGUGUCAGCAAAUACUGGGAAAACAUUUUGGCAAUCCAGUGGAUCUAAAACAGGGAGGAGGGAGUGUUACGUGAGUUGAUGAUCUUCGGAUGUUACAGCUAAUGAUGAUGCUUCAUGUGGACUCCACUCGAUAGAUGUAAUUGCUUUCUUGUGGUACUCAAAAUGUGCUACCAACGAGUCCUCCUACCAGUACAAUAGAGAGCAUAAAGAAAAAAGAUUCACAAGCAAUAGUGAAGAAGUACAUAACCACAAUUACUAUCAUCAAUACAAAUAGCCGAAUAUGUCAAGAUAAACUGGGCAACAUGACAAGGGUACUACACCACGGUAACCAGCUGCACUGAUUUGUGCAAAGUGCACUAUUUACAUACUAGCAAUGAUGCAAAUAUCUACUGUAGGCUAUCUAUUUCAAAAAUCUAGUAGCAAAAACGUAGCUUAUAGAUUUUGAUCUAUUAGAUGGUUUAUUCAUUUUCUAAUAUCUUCGGAACACCCAAUCAUGUGUAAUUUUCUUUCCACAUAUUGCACAGAGGCAAACAGGGCCCAAUUUAGAGCAAAUUAUAGAAACACAAAUUAAGGAAAAUGUCAAGUUGGUUACACCGAAACUCACAAGCAUAGAAAAUUCUGAUAUAUCAAGGAGGAAAUACCUGAAUUGAUCUAAGAUCACGAACUGAGAAACUGCCAUCAUCACACCCUGAAGCUAUCAUGCAGCUAGCAAGCCUGAUAAUGCAAGUCAGAACAUGUGUAAAAUACUAUGCAGCAGAAGUUAUAGUACUCAUAAGGUUAAGAGUUUUCCAGUGGAUAUACCUAUUCCAUGAGAUAACAUUAGCAUCGGUUUUAUGAGCCUUGACAGACAUACGAGGUUUCUUCCCUGUACGUAUAUCCCAUAUCGCUAUUGUACCAUCCACAGAACAAGAGGCAAAUAUGUCGGCUUCCGUGGGACUCCACUGCAAGGAUAUACUUAUAUUAGUUGAGACAAUCACAUUCAAGGAAACAUAUGAAUAGGUACAUGAUGCAUCAUUCAGUGGCAUGCCUGAAGAUCUUCAACACUUGCAGAGUGUCCAACAAAUGGAUUUGGAUCUACAUUCCAGUUGGUUGGAGUUGGCUCCCACAGGUGAAUGCACUUAUUGCAGUCACCUGCAUAGAAAAAUCAUUAAGUCAUUCCAUCAAAAUAUCUAUACACGAAAUUAAAUGGUACCAAUAAUCUAUGGACAUGGAAUAGAGAGAACCACAUCAAAACAUUUUAGAUGACAAACAUUGUGAAAUGGACAAGAUCAUGUACACACCGGAAACAAGUCUUCCAGCAACAAGCGGACUCCAAUCAAUUGCAUAUCCCUCAUCUUUAUGGCCACUAAAUACUUUCACAGGUAAGUGUUUGUGGAUUAUGUCAUCUUCUUUGGGUGCAGGUGCCCCUGACUCAGCUAAAGAAUUAAGGAAGGAGCUCAAGUCCCACACCUGCAUAUUUAGCAACCGGCAAUGCACAAAAAAAGUCAAAAUAGUGCAUUCUGUUUCUGGACAGGUUUUCAAAAAGAAAUACAAUGCAUAUAGAAUAGAUGACAGGUUUAGAUUGCCAUUGAUCACAAUAACUGAAAAAGAAGUGUGAGGUAAGAACUGAAUUACCUGAACAUGACCAGUAUCACCCCAUGUAGCACAUAUAUGUGGUUUUUGAGUCAUUGAGCGUAUCCGAUUUACACAACCCGCAUGGGCCACUUUUUUUAGCUGGUACAUUGAAAUGUAGCAACAGAACACAUCACAAACUGUGUAUCAGCAUUACUUGCUAGAUAAUGAAAAACCUUGAUUUUUGUGGCAUAGUUUAGAAUUAUGAUCUUGAUUAGAAACAUACAUGUAAGAUGGGCUUUGUAUCCUCAUUAAUUUCUUCAUCUUCUUCAUCGCUGCUGCUGUCACUAUCCACAUCAGUGUCACCAUCAACUGCUGAAGGUGGUAUAGGUUCCCGCUUCUUCCCACUUAUGUUAGAAAGCUUGAAAAUGCCAAUAUAAUUCCAUGGAGCCUUCUCAGCCUGAAGAACAGUUUAGCUCCAAACUCAGAGAGACAAAACUAAUGUUUAAUGAUUAUUUGCAUUUCCACCAAUCUUUUGACAUCCUUUAAGCUGAAAUUUCCAGAGGAAGACCAAUUCAUUCAUAAAAGUUGAUGAAUUUAUGCUCAAAUUAAACUUCUAAUGAUCCAAAUUCGCUCAUUCGCAAUCAAUUACAAUUUGUAGUAAGAAUCAGGGUAUAAAUGCCCACAAGUUUCUGGCACGUUUUUUCUCUUUUGAGCUUAGAAUCAGCAAUGGCACACUUUUCAAAUAAAAAACAACUUAAUAAGAACACAAAUACAAACAUGCAACACCAUAGCAUGUUCCGCUGACAUUUUCUGCAAAAUUAAAAUUAAACUAUAGAAGAACAGGUGCAAUAGUACAAAUUAAUAUUCCUGUAGAAACGAUAAUUUAGAAAAGUAAAAAAAAAUAUGUGAAAGACAUGAAGUCAAGAAGUAAAAAUGUCUAGGUUUUGAAGUUGUAAAGAGUAACGCAACCUGUGUUCCAGCAACACCAUAGAAUGUAUGGGGGAACUCUGAUCGGACGAGUCCAAGUUGAUCGCGCACAACAUCAAAACUGCAACGGAAGGUUAUUCAUUGAGAAUGGAUCACAUAUUGGCCUUAACUUACACCCAAAUAAAGAAACAAUGCCCUAUGCGGGGAAACAUUACCUCAAGCAAGACCAGCCAAUGCUAAACCCUCGGAGAUAAUUGUAAGCCUCAGGAUCAAACUGGAGCUCCUCCCCAUCUUCCAGUGCAUCUACACCCGGUUGCCAGACCUAAGACGAAGCACUAAUUAAGGGUAUAGCUCGCACACUGAAACAAUAUGCAUCAUCUUAGAAAAGGAACAAACUUAAAAAAAAAACUUCAAAGCACAAAGGCGAUUCAUUAGGCGUAGCUUUUCGGGCAAACAUCACUAUUCCGGCUGUGUGAAAAAAAAGGAUAGGAAAUUUCUUCCUCACCUUGGCCGGACCAGAGGCAACCACAGGAUUAGAUGACGAUGAAGCUUCAACUUUCUUCAUCCCAGAAAUACAGAAGAAUUAGGCAAGUGAAGCAAAGAACAUACUGAAACAGCUGAAGAAACAAGCAUCAAUUGGAGCUCCAGAAAUAGUAUCUUGUAUGGUACCUUGGUCUUCUUGGAUUUAGUCAUUUAGCCUUCUUGGCCUUCUUGAUGGUGCGACCCAUGAGUGAAAGAAAUCAAUAAACUAUUGCAGGACAGAGCGCCGCAGAGGUGGGAGAACUUGGACUUGAGAGGCAGAACUCGAUCUUUAAAGAUAAGGAAAGAAAACAUAAACUCUUAAAACUUAACUUCAUCGCCCAAGUAAGUUAAAAAGGCAAAAAAUUAUUAUGACCUUGAAAUUCUCUAAUUAAAUCUAAUUAUGUAAUCAUAACUUAGUUUAAAUAAUAAUUUCACAUUAUUAUUGGACUUAAAAACACAAUAAAACAAGGCCUAAAAAAUUUAAGCAUAAUAGACAAUAUCAUAAGAAUGAAUAAAACAUAAGACAAACACUUAAGAUAAUUAAGCCCAGAACUUAUCUCAAUUUGGCCCAUAAGACAAAUACAUCCCACACUUACUCUAAUAUUCUUUUAAUGAUCUAGUCCACAUCAACUUUUUCAAGAAAUGGACAAUAUUAGUACAAUUUUACAGUGAAAUAUUAACCACAUGUCUCGUAAACUUCAUUUAUUAAACAACUCCACAUUACUGCUGGGAAAAAAUGAAGAAGAAUAAUAAUAUUUGUGGACACAUGAAUAAAUGUUCAUCAGAAUGACAAAUAUAAACCACACUAAUUCAAUUAGAGACAUGACCGUCCUAAUGAAUGCACAGCCCAACGUUUACCUAAAAGAAAAAAAAACAUAAUUUUUCAUAAUAAUAUUCGUGGACAGAUGGAUAAAUGUUCGUCAGAAUAACAAAUAUAAAAUUAUUUCAAUUAUUGAAAUUAUUUAGAGACAUAGUUAAUUCGGCCGAUGAUGGCAUACUGGCCGUGAUUUAUCUGGUAGCAUACAUACGGUAAUGUUUGGUACUUUCAUUGCACAGUGCCACACACAUAAUACAAUCGUAUCAUAUAUAGAGAACUGAAACCAUUUGCUGUCAAAGAGUGCUACCUGCUCAUGCAUCUUGGGUGUAAUGUAGCUACUUGGAUGAAGCGGUCGCAUGUGAAAAACGCUUAAAUGACUACACAUAUUGUUACUGCAUCAUUGCAUCAUUUUGAUCCACUGAAUCUCAGGACUGCUAUGUGUUUUGGAUUGAAAAUACAACCGUUUUCUCUCUCCUUUGUUAUUUUACAUCAUUGUUCCCUUCGGUCGUACAUGUACGAUAAGGUUGCUGCGUCGAUAAUGCAAUGAAUGUUUAUCUGAGUUGUCAUGGUCUAAGCCGUCGGGAUUAAGCGGGCGGCCCAGUCUGCGCCCUCCGCGGCUCGGGCCGCCCGACCCCUUGGGUAGAUCUGCAGGCCGGCGCGGCACGGAUCUGCAGGCGUCCUCGCCCCGUCCCCUCGUGCGGUCGCGCCCUCCGCGGCUCGGGCCGCCCGACCCCUCGAGUGGAUCUGCAGGCCGGCGCGGCGCGGCACGGAUCUGCAGAUGGCCGUCCCCGUCCCCUCGCGCGGUCGCGCCCUCCGCGGCUCGGGCCGCCCGACCCCUCGGGUGGAUCUGCAGGCCUGCGCGGAUCUGCAGGCGGCCGGCCCCGUCCCGUCGCGUGGUCGCGCCCUCCGCGGCUCGAGCCGCCCGACCCCUCGGGUGGAUCUGCAGGCCGGCGCGGCGCGGCGCGGAUCUGCAGGCGGCCAGCCCCGUCCCCUCGCGCGGUUGCGCCCUCCGCGGCUCGUGCCGCCCGACCCCUCGGGUGGAUCUGCAGGCCGGCGCGGCGCGGCGCGGAUCUGCAGGCGGCCGGCCCCGUCCCCUCGCGCGGUCGCGCCCUCCGCGGCUCGGGCCGCCCGACCCCUUGGGUAGAUCUGCAGGCCGGCGCGGCACGGAUCUGCAGGCGGCCUCGCCCCGUCCCCUCGUGCGGUCGCGCCCUCCGCGACUCGGGCCGCCCGACCCCUCGAGUGGAUCUGCAGGCCGGCGCGGCGCGGCGCGGAUCUGCAUGCGGCCAGCCCCGUCCCCUCGCGCGGUCACGCCCUCCGCGGCUCGUGCCGCCCGACCCCUCGGGUGGAUGUGCAGGCCGGCGCGGCGCGGCGCGGAUCUGCAGGCGGCCGGCCCCGUCCUCUCGCGCGGUCGCGCCCUCCGGGGCUCGGGCCGCCCGACCCCUCGGGGGGAUCUGCAGGCCGGCGCGGCGCGGCACGGAUCUGCAGGCGGCCGUCCCCGUCCCCUCGCGAAGUCGCGUCCUCCGCGGCUCCGGCCGUCCGACCCCUCGGGUGGAUCUGCAGGCCGGCGCGACGCGGAUCUGGAGGCGGCCGGCCCCAUCCCCUCGCGUGGUCGCGCCCUCCGCGGCUCGGGCCGCCCGACCCCUCGGGUGGAUCUGCAGGCCGGCGCGGCGCGGCGCCGAUCUGCAGGUGGCCGGCCCUGUCGCCUCGCGCGGUCGCGCCCUCCGCGGCUCGGGCCGCCCGACCCCUCGGGUGGAUCUGCAAGUGGCCAUCCCUGUCCCCUCGCGCGGUCGCGUCCUCCGCGGCUCGGGCCGUCCGACCCCUCGGGUGGAUCUGCAGGCCAGCGCGGCCCGGCGCGGCGCGGAUCUGGAGGCGGCCGGCCCCAUCCCCUCCCGCAGUCGCGCCCUCUGCGGCUCGGGCCACCCGACCCCUCGGGUGGAUCUGCAAGCGGCCGUCCCUGUCCCCUCGCGCGGUCGCGUCCUCCGCGGCUCGGGCCACCCGACCCCUCGGGUGGAUCUGCUGGCCGGCGCGGCGCGGUGCGGAUCUGCAGGCGGCCGGCCCCGUCCCCUCGCGUGGUCGCGCCCUCCGCGGCUCGGGCCGCCCGACCCCUUGGGUAGAUGUGCAGGCCGGCGCGGCACGGAUCUGCAGGCGGCCUUGCCCCGUCCCCUCGUGCGGUCGCGCCCUCCGCGGCUCGGGACGCCCGACCCCUCGAGUGGAUCUGCAGGCCGGCGCGGCGCGGCACGGAUCUGCAGGCGGCCGUCCCCGUCCCCUCGCGCAGUCGCGCCCUCCGCGGCUCGGGCCGCCCGACCCCUCGGGUGGAUCUGCAGGCCUGCGCGGAUCUGCAGGCGGCCGGCCCCGUCCCGUCGCGCGGUCGCGCCCUCCGCGGCUCGAGCCGCCCGACCCCUCGGGUGGAUCUGCAGGCCGGCGCGGCGCGGCGCGGAUCUGCAGGCGGCCAGCCCCGUCCCCUCGCGCGGUCGCGCCCUCCGCGGCUCGUGCCGUCCGACCCCUCGGGUGGAUCUGCAGGCCGGCGCGGCGCGGCGUGGAUCUGCAGGCGGCCGGCCCUGUCCCCUCGCGCGGUCGCGCCCUCCGCGGCUCGGGCCGCCCGACCCCUUGGGUAGAUGUGCAGGCCGGCGCGGCACGGAUCUGCAGGCGGCCUCGCCCCGUCCCCUCGUGCGGUCGCGCCCUCCGCGGCUUGAGCCGCCCGACCCCUCGGGUGGAUCUGCAAGUGGCCGUCCCUGUCCCCUCGCGCGGUCGCGUCCUCCGCGGCUCGGGCCGCCCAACCCCUCGGGUGGAUCUGUAGGCCGGCGCGGCGUGACGCGGCGCGGAUCUGCAGGCGGCCGGCCCCGUCCCCUCGCGUGGGCGCGCCCUCCGCGGCUCGAGCCGCCCGACCCCUCGGGUGGAUUUGCAAAUCGGCGCGGCGCGGCGCGGAUCUGCAGGCGACCGGCCCCGUCCCCUCGCGUGGUCGCGCCCUCCGCGGAUUGGGCCGCCCGACCCCUCGGGGGGAUCUGCAGGCCGGCGCGGCGCAGAGCCUCCCCUCGGUGAACCUCAUACCGCAGCGCCUUGCAGCUUCCUCUACAUCCGCCGCGGCCAGAUCGCCGUGGGGCGUCACGGGUGCCUCCAUGCCUAGAUUGCCACCGUCGUCUUUAGCGUCUGGGAAUGCGACGCACCUCGCCGUUGCCGUGCCCGGCCUGAAGAGGAGGAUCAGGUCGUGCUCGAGGUCGAUGAACAGCAGCUGGGAGCCGUCGUUACGUGCGACGACGGUGUGCGCCUCGAACGUCAGCCACUCCUGCCCGCCCGUGACCUCUAACAACUUCCAGUCUGCCUCGUCGUUCGACAGUUCCUCAAAGUGGCGCGGAAGCUGGGCGGCCAUGUCCGUGGCUGUCCAGGAUGAUGAAGAGGAUGUGAAACAUAUCAUGCGGUGGUGCACAAUCGACGAUGAAGAGGAGGAGGGGCGCGACGCCGAAUCGCUUUGAAGUUGUGCCACCACGUAGUGGCUGCCGGUGGCGGGGAGGAUCCCGGUGCAGUCUUGGAGCCCGAACUAUAGGACGACGAGCCCCGCAGGGACCCUAGGCACCUGGCGUGCCCUACGGCUCCCGGUAAGGCAGACGAGAAGGUGUCCGCUGUCGGGCCCUCCCCGUGCCGAUAGCACAAAGAGUAACAGGUUUCCCUCUCUGACGGUGCACUCCACGCGGCUCUCGUGGUCGCCUAGGGGAAUCAACGUGCAGCUGAGGAGGAGGGUGGGGAGCCCCGAUGGGGUGGCGUGGAGGACAGCGUAGUCAGCAUCCAACGCUAGUAGGUCUUGACGGUCGACGAGCUUGGGAUUUCUCUCGAGAACAGCCCACGCGCGAGCGCGACGGUAAGGUCCGGCCGCGCGAGACGCGGCCCUGACGGCGGCGGCGGUGAGGCUUGGUCGCGAAUCCGACAUAGGGUCGGUCACGACCUGAGCGUGGGGGGUGGGUUUCGGUAGUGAGGGGGUGGUCGGCGAGGGAGAGACGGAGGAGGGGGUUUAGGGGGUGUGAGGAACGGCGGUGCCUGCGCUGGUGGCCUGGUUAUAUUAAAAAAAGGAGGAAAAAAAGGGGAGGGGAAGGGGAAGGGGAAGGGGAGGAUCGGACAGCUGGCUGGAAUCUACGUCCGUAACCUAAAUGUACACGUGUGUUUGAGAGGCCCGUUGCCCGGCUGACGUUGCUGGCCGUGCCAACAGCAAGUAAUCUUGGAGCCGGCAGCAGUGAGCACGUCGCCCAGUACACGGCUCCAGCAUGUCGUCCAAUAUAACGAACUCUGCAUGCGCCUGCCACCUCGGCGAGGCCGUUAAUCCGUCAUCAUUGCCUAGCGCUGCACCACCGGCACGGCGGCCUCGCUCGGGGCUGCGCGCCAGCCGGGCGGCGACGUCCAUGCUGCACGCCCGCACCGGACGUGCUGGCCGGGCCGCAACACUGUCAUCCACCGCGCCACGAGUACCCGAUCUUUCCCCGUCGGCGGCGAGCUCGUGUUGUCGAUGACGGCAGUGCCGAGGCGGUGAGCAUGGUGCACGGGUGGUCACACGUGGUGCCAGUUGGGCUGAGAAGCGUGCGUGGCCGGAUCCACUUGUGCUCGAACACGGCCGCCGUCCGAGCGCUUCUUCAUCGAUCGCCAGGAGGCCAGUGGUGGCUCUCAAGACGGCGAGCUCGAGUACACCAAUUGGCGCCAGCCUUUGAUAUGAUGCUGCCUCUGUGGAGGACGAGCCUGCCAGCCCAGCAAGAGGCACGCGAACGGGCUGGGGUCACGCCGCCGGCGACCUCGACCACCAAACUUGAUGUGGCGCCUCUGUGGUCAUGUCCUUCCACAUGGAGGGAGAUCUCCAUUCUUGACUUACUCCACCCGCGCUUGCAGCACCGCGCCAUGAUCGGCGAGCGGCCAUGCGGCGUCACGCGCGCGCUGCGGCUGCGCCGACAUCACGCUCAUGCCUGCGGUGCGCUGCGCUGCGCUCGCUCCAGCUGAGACGACACGUUCGCCGACGCCUACGCCACUCUCUCGAUCGCCUCCAUGACCACGCACGUCCAGAACAGCGGCGCGCUCGCCGUAGGCCAUCUAGCUAGCUGUGUUGCUGCUGCAUCCAUCCUGCUCUCGAAAACCUCCGGCACGACGGGGCUCGAGCACCCACGGCGAGUGCGGCUGCGAGCUCGCCGGCGACGAUGACGAGCACGGAGCACGGGUCCAACACGUCGACUCAAUGAACUGUUCUUGCCCUGCCAGCUCGGCGCUCGAGGCCGUGUCGAGGAGCGUGCGUGCCCGGAUCCAGUUCGUUCCGUUCUGCCGGUGCUUGGCCACGCAGCACGCGUCGACGGGCGCCGCUCUCGCGCCGUUCCGGAGCUUCUUCAUCGGCAGGGGGCCGGUCGAUCGCUCGCAAGACUGAGAGCUCGAGGACACCAAUGGGCGCCAGGAUGGCUGGAAGUUGCCGGCUUAUAUUACGUCGUCAGCUCGUCGACGACGUGGUACGCAGGAUCGUACAUAGUAUUCGCAAAGCUGCACUUUGCUCAUGAGCUCGUGGCGCCAUCCCCUGUACGUCCCAGUCAUUACCGGUCACCACUGCCAUUGGCUUGAACUUGUUCUUGUCGUGACGAGCUGGCCCAGCACCUCGUGUUGUCAUCAAACAGUGUAAUAUAUCAAUUUUCCAAGCGUUGUAAACUAAAUUGCGUUGCACAUGCGACUGUUUCAGUCUUCUCUAUGCAUUGCUAACAUGAUAAUGCCAUUUUCUUGCACUAUGACAUCAUAUUGUCAUCUCUCUCGUUCGGCCACACUACUCUAUAUGCUUCAUUUGUACUGUUGGGGAACUGCCAGGAAAGGCUCGAAGGUCAGUAUGAGCCCGAUGACCUCUGUCAAAUUCAAUAGCAGAAACACCAUAUGGUCUCCUGAACAUACAUGAAAAAUGCAAGGAUCAAUCAAAUACAUCUUCCAAUCGACACCCUCCAUGGUGAUUGUACUAGGGUAAUAUUGGAGUAACUUUUUUUUAUAUGCAAUAAAUUAUCACACUUGUUUUAUACAUUAGAAUGGUAGCACUGCAACUUAUAUGGUUCUUCAAACUAAAGCAUAUAUAUAGUCUAUACCUGGAAAAAAUGCGGCAUGUUGGCGUUUUUGUGCCCAUGAGAAUCUGCAUCCAGAGGUAUUUCAACAGUGAGUCUCUUCUUCUGAAUACAUGUGUUGUUUGGAUUGGUCCAUGCUUUCAUUCUUAUCAGACAAAAUGCAAUCACUAAGCUAGGAAUAUUAGUUUAAAAUAGCAAAAUUUUCUCCACUAAGAAUUGAGAUAGCAUUAUAUGAACAACAAGAAUGCAAGAAAGCACCAGCCAUACGUACAUAAUGCCUGCUCCAGCUGGAGCAAAAGCCUUCGACAAAGACAUUGCUGUUGUAGCUAUUCCAUUUGCAGCACCCCUUUGUUCUUGUGGCUAUGAAUAGCAUUCAAUUCAGAUAUUAUAUUUAUUUACGAUUUUGGCAUUAGUACGAAUACCAAUCAAUUCUUGUUAAGAUAUGGGAUAAUAAAUAAAUCGAACAGACAUAAGUUGACACAUACCACAGCAUUGUUCUGUAGCAGAGAAGUGCCAGUAACUCUUGUUAUCUGAUCAAGAUACGCACAUAUAUAACCAUCAUUUUAUUUCUCAUAAAUUUCUAAUGCUAUAUAUGAGCGUACCUAUUUAACCAUGUAUAGUGUAGUGGUAAGUGAGGUGAUGUAUUUUAACUAUCAUCAUAAAGUACUUACUGCAAAAACACUUUUUAGCAUUGCUGCAAUGUAGAGUGGCACACCGAGUCUUAUUCCUGAUAAGUGUGUCAUAAAGGGAUAAGCAGCAAUUAUUGGUAUAGACAAUGCCUGCGAGCUCAAGAUCAAUUGUUAAGAACUACAAGUAUUUUUAACAGAAAAAUAGGCAAUAAUAAGUACAGACAAACUACAAAUAGUCAAAUAAUUGUGACUUUAGCAACUCACUGAUGAAAUUUGGGUUGAGUGGAUAGGUCCAAAAGUUUUAUUAACCCAAUGGUAUGCAAAGAGUUGAUAAACUAGAAGGCUGGCGCCUACAAUUCAACGAAGGAUGAUUAUUGACCUUCCAUAAAGUACAGUCAGUACAUCUUAUUAACUAUAAAACACAAAAAACACUGAUCAAAUGGUUGCGUAAGAUUCCUUAGAGUUUUUGGGAAAGCAGUUGAUUGAAUUGGAAUUACCUGCAACUGUAAGAACUUGGCCCACAUCUUUAGAUAAAAAGCUAAGCCCACCAUAUUUUCUAUUACUUACAGUCCAUAGAGAAAAUAUCUGAUAUUGAAUUACAACAAAUAAAUUUCAGAACCAUUGUAUUUCAAAGUAGCAGAGCGGAUCGAGUAAGUGGUACCUCAGCAUAUGCAGUGUCAUGGAGGGAGAAGACACAAUAUGUGAUAAUAGAUGACAUCAAUGGCCAGUUUUUGAGUAAGCUCUUUUUAGGUAGUUCUGUGCUUUCUUGAUUAGUAGAACUUUCUACCAUUUCAACUCCUCUGUCAAGGCCUUUGUGCUUAUGUAGGGUCUCCUGUUUAUAGUUAGUCCAUGAAUGAUAAGUAAAUUAAAAUAACAGUAGAAAAAGCGCAUGUGUGUAAGAUUAUCGAGCCUUUGUGUAUUUUAAGGUAGGAUAGAAUAUUAACAUGGAAUCGACUACUUUAGUGUUCCAACAAGACAUGUUUAUGUGUAAAUUAAUCAUAAAACACACGAAAAACUCUUCAUGAUGACAUUAAAACAAUAAUUUCAAAGCAUACAUAGAGUCAUAGAGUAGGUCGUACUUACCGGGAGCCAUGCACAACUUAUGAAAACAAAGGUAUCAAAAAGUGAGAUACAUAUACAUGGCAAUAAAUAUGGGAACCUGCAUGAUGUUGGAUCAACAAGAUAAAAUUUUAAAAAGAUCAUUCUAGCUUAGUGUUAAAAAGAAAUUUAAUUUUAGCUGAAAGGAAUACCUUCCAAACACUGACUUCUCAUGAAACAGAUGUGGAUAUUGUUUGACAGGCUAGCAAUAAGGAUGGAAGACACAAUAGGUUAAUAUUAAUCCAAAUAGUUGAGAAAUAAUAUAUAAUCUGUGUGAGAUACCUGUGCUAGGUAGCCCCCAAUUGCUGGGCCAAUUAUAACACCCAUUCCCCAUGCUGUGCUGACCUAAAUUUGAUGAAAUGGAUCAUACUGAGUUCCAGGUACGCAAUUAUUUAUGUCAUACUAUGCGGCAAGUGCUGAGCGUUUAUAUGUGGAAUUGAAACCUACAAUUGAUAUACCCAAAGCUUGCUGUUCAGGUUGACAAACUUCGAUGGAGUAGGCCUGCAGAAGAAAGCAACAAUUACAUUAUAUUGAUUGGACCUUUGCUGGAAUCAGGGCAGCAACUGAUAGUAAAAUAUUUCUUUUAUUUGUUUUUAGGAAUUGCCACUUGUAUGCAUGCAACUAAAUACCUUAAUUUACUGGUCCGUUCAAAAAAAAGUACCUUUACUGGUGCAAGGAAUCCAUUCAGGGCACCAAGAAGAAACCUUGUUGCGAUAGCCAUCCAAUAUUUCACACUCAGUCCAAACAAAGUGUUGAAGACAAUGCUAAAAUACAGGUUUGGAAAUGGGUCAGAGAUCAUACGUAACAUAAUGCAGGUCUACUUUUGGAGUACAUUUUGGUUCCCUUUCUUAGGUGAAGAAAGAUAUAUACCAUGAGUACUUACACUGAAAAUACUGAAAUUGCAAUUACAGGCUUUCGUCCAAUACGAUCAGCUACUAUACCCCAGAAGACUGAGGCAAUACCUCUACCGAUCAUAUAUGACGCACCUAAGGGAAAAAAAAAGGCAGGUACGCACCAUAUAUGAUAAUUUUCAAGAGCAACAAGUAUGCUUGGUUGUUGUUGACACUUGGCUGUGAUAAAUCUUACCAAGAAAACCAGCGUAGAAUCCAAUGUCUUCUUCUUUUUGAGCAACAUGCAUGUCUCUUAUCUGUUUUAGAAAUCAGCAGUUUAUUAAAAAAAACACAUAUUUGAUUGAGAUAUCAGUUACUACAUGAGUACAUAACGUUUCAGAAGAAACAUCUACAUAGCUGGCACAGCCAGUCGAGGAGGAAGAAUGUCCAGCAAUAAAAAAAAAAGAGAGAAGCGAGGAUAUCCGAUCCAAAUCUAACAAGAGUUGCAGUAAAAUAAAACCAUCCAUGGAUACGAAGCGAUUAAGAAAUGAAGGAAUUAGUAGUAUGCCGUAGCAUCAGCAUGUACGUUGGCUGGAUAGAUAAUGACGUAUAUUAUUGUACGUACCCGAGGCGAAGGUGAUGAUGCCGACGAAGAGUAGCUCCUUGUAGGGAACGCCCUUGUGGCUCUCCUUCUUCCUGUCCAUGGCGCAGCCGGGACACCCCUCGUAGUACACCUUCCCUGGCGGCGAUGGCGGCGGCGGCAGCUCCCCCAUUUCAGCUCAGCGCGGCCGAGUGAAAGGCGAUGAAUGAGUAGGAUCGAGCAGGGCGAGGCGCGUCAGAAGAGAGGAUGAGGAGAGACAGAGAAAGGCUAGCUGAAGGAUCUGAAGGAAGGAGCGGAGGCGUGGAAGGAAACGUGGAAGGUGCCGUGGGUCCUUCCCUUGGUCGUCGGUCCGCGUGCCGGCGUUACGUCUGCGCCACAAACCGAUGGCGAGGACGCUGAGCGGGGUGACAGAUGGCCUGCGACCUGACACGCCUGCGCGGGGGGCCCUACCGUGCUCGGGCGACGCCUGCCUGCGGAUGUGCCCCUGUGCAACGCCGACUGCAAGUCUGAGAGCGAUCGAGGCAUGUGUCGCGAAGCCACUCUGAAGUCUGAAUACUGAGCAGGAAAAAAAGAUGUGAAAGUUAAAGACGGGGACCUGACUAGGACCGAUAUUGACGAAACUAGCAGCCGUCAAUCUGCAUCGAGCAAUGGCGGCCUGGGGAAGGAGAUCAUCCUACCAGAAAACCUCAGGUGAUUGGUCACUCCAUAAGUCAGUCCACUGCAGUGGAAGAAUGUGUGAGUGACUAGGUAGGUAGUGAAAAAUUUCCGCAGGCUUCUUCGUUGAUUACCUGCUAAAAGACUGCUCCCGAUCGAAGAAGCUGCUGGAUAUUCCUGUUCGCCACCUGCCGGAAAUUGACCUCAACGGCACCAGCGACAGCGAACAGAGAAAAGGAGAUCCAAACGACAAAAGGAGAUGCACAGGCGUUGUUGGGCUGCAAAUUAAAUCCUUCACUGAUUUCCCCUGGAUUUUCUUUGUAAAAAGAAAGAUACCCUGGAUUUUCUUUCAGGCCAUGCAUGCAGCCUGCUAAAAAGAGCCUUUCAGUUUCAGGUAAGGACGUCAGGCUGACAUGCUCAGGAUGGAUCGUCAGAUAUAUUCGUCCAGACAGGAAUAGUUGUACUUGAACCACGUCACUAGCUACGUCAGUGCGUGGACGCAAGGUGAUCCACCAAAUGCGCGGGUGCCUGACUCCGGAGACGGAGAGGAAUCGAGUGCCCGCUUGCAAACUGCAGACAGCACAAAUCGGAGUUAAACGACGCCGUGUCAAAGCAUCCAUUCAGCUUCAGCUUGUCACUGUCUCUUCCGAAUAACAUUAGAGAGACGGCAUGCAGGGUGAUGAUGGCAACGAAGAGCAGUUCCUUGUAGUGGAUGCCCCUGCGGCUCUCCUUCUUCCUGUCCAUGGCGCAGCCCGGGCACCGUCGUAGUACACCUUCGCCGGCGCACCGUCGGCCAUUUCAGGUAGGUCCGGCGGCCUCUCAGCCUCGAUCGAUCGAGGCAACCGAUGAACCGAGGAUCGCUGACAAAAGAUCACUGUGUCUGCCUUUCAGCUGGUAAACAGCGAGCGAAAGAGAGAGGCUAGUGGUGACCAGAGCAGGCGAUGAACUGGCUUAAAAACCCUAAGCUAGAAGGCAACGAAUUUAUGUAGCUAUCGCGUAUCUGCAAGUGGUUACUAGUUUUAUCAGCCAUACAUAAAAAGCUAGCCAUCUCUAAUGGAUGGAUGCUCACUUUCAUCAUGAAAAUCAAUAAAAGCUUUCUUUAUCAGAAAAAAUACAAUACUGCUACACUUUAUCUGAUCAAAGUUGUAACCACAGAAGUGCGUUGUAGCCUACAGUACUAGUGCCAAAUGACACCAAGGAGAUAGAGCUAAGAGUUUGGACGCUACCUAUCCCACAUACGGCUAAUGUUUAUUCUACCAUAGCGCUGGGACACAGAUUUGGUAACAUGAUCCCCAAAUUAAUCUGCAAAAUCACUGCAUGGCUAAUUACUAAAGGAUCAAUCCACAAUGAUGAACUCCAGUACACACAAAUGAUUCUGAUGAUUCCUUAAUUUAUUGAAGAAUAGACAAGUCAUUAUGGCACCUGGCUUUGGGACUCAAUAUAAGGAGCGGUUCAGGUUAAAGCCUGAGCCGAACAUUAGCAAGAUGUAUGCUGCCUACAAUAACAUUACAAAGUUAUAAUACACCGUUUUUCAAAAAAAUAUAUUACAAUUUAUCAAAAUUUUCAUUAAUCAUAUAAGACAUCCCAGCCCCGUGGGCUAGUUGGGCCGGGCCAGAUUCGUGUUAUUGUAACAUGCGGCUACUAUAGUGACGAAAACCAUUGUGGCAUCGGGAGAUAGUCCCAAACCGGAAACGGAGAGGGAGUUGAACCAGCUUAAAUAGCUGGCCUGAGGAAGCUAGUAACUCCGGUUGCAAUUUUUUACAUAAAGUGAGGAUGAAAGUACAAAAGGGUUAAUUAGCAGGUGUGGCCCAUUCGACGUGUAUUGUGAAUCUUUGCUGUUUUUCUAAGCUAGGUUGUUACAUCAUCUGACCACCUUAAUUAGCUUUUGACGGAAACAAAAUCCAAUCUGUCCUUGUUUUGUUCAGAUUCUAGACAGCAGAUCAAACUUCCACAUUCUGAACCUUUUAGAGCACCAUUGACCAUCAUUAUUUCCUUUUUUUCUCAUGCUUGACCAAGUGUAAUUACGUCCCAGUGAACCCCUCUUUCAGAGUCUCUAGCCUUAAUAUACUAUUCUGGUAAUGCAGGCAACACCAGAAAGGGUUCAAAGGUGGAUAUCAGCCCAAGCAGCUGCACCAAAUUCAGCACCACAAACACCACCUGAUCACCUGCAAAUUCAACAAUCCAAAUUGGAUAAGCAUCAUAUACAUGUUCCUGUUCUCUACCAUCACAAGGAAAUAUCCCACAUAACGAAACCAUGCUUUUUGUAUACUAGUUUAUUACCAUAGGAAAAAAAAUGAAACCUUAUGCAAGGUAUAGUAGGAAAUUGAUAGUUUACCUGGCAGGAAAGUAGCAUCUUGACGUUUUUGUGCCCAUGAAAAUCUGUGUUGAUGAAUGUGAAUUCAGAGUUUAGGAUACACAGACAGAAUAAUAAUGAUCCACCUUUUUUACUUUCUAUACUUUGUUUUAACGCACUCUUUGGACAUAAGGUGAUAGAGAAAUUUUAAGUUCUAUGUUUACGAGAGGCUUGUGAAAAUUUUAGGAGCAUAUUCUAUACCACUACCCCGUCCCAAAUUAUAGGUCGUUUUGACUUUAUUAGAUUUAUAGACUUUGUUAUGCACUUAGAUAUACCCUAUGUCUAGAUGCAUAAAUCUAUGCAUCUAGAAAAGUCAAAACGACCUAUAAUUUGGAACGGAGGGAGUAUAUAUUAAGGAGAGAUGGAAAUUGAUACUUACAGAGCCCCUGCCCCUACUGGAGCAACUGACUUGAAAAAUGACAUUACAGUUGUCGAUAUACCAUUUGCCGUGCCUCUUUGUUCUUGGAACUAGAAUUGAAUUUUAAAUAUAUUAGAUAGUUUUAUUUGAUUUGUGUAAGCAUACUAUCCCAUCAAAUUCACUUGAGUUCAUACAUACCACGGCAUUAUUCUGUAGAAGGCAAAUUCCUGUUGUUACAGUAAUCUGUAUAGGUUGCAAAAGAAGAUUAUGUAGACUUGAAUACCAUUAAAAUUAUUAAAAACUACUAUUUAUUCGCCACUAUGUCUUCCAUAGAAAAGGAGUUAUUAGCUUACAAAUGGUGCGGCGAGUUAUGAAGUAAUUUGAACUGUGAAGAAAGAAAGAACAAUGCUUACUGCAAGAGCACUUUUCAUCAUGGCUGCAGAAUAGAGGGCGAAAGAAAGUUUCACUCCAGAUAGGUAUGUCAUAAAGGGAUACGUUGCAAGAACAACUAUAAACACAGCCUGCAAUGUCAUGUUGAAAUUUUAAGUGAUGAUCAUGAGAUAUGUAUUUUUAUGUUUAUCUUUUGAAGAAACAGUAGGAGGCAACUCACAGAAGCAACACGUGAUGAGUUGACUGUUCCACGCACUUUAUGAACCCAGCGAUAAAUGAUAAGCUGGUAUACUAGAAGACUAGCACCUAUUAUAAAGAAAAUGAAAGGAGAAAAUCCAUAUCAGUGUCUAUACAUUCACACAGAACGCUGCAAACAUCUUUAGCUGGGAGGGAUGGCAAUGUAAGCGGAGGGCAGAGGGAUGUGAUACCUGCCAUAGCAAGAACUUCACCAAUGUCUUUAGUUGAGAAGCUGAGGCCACCAUACUUCCGAUCGCUCACAGCCCAUAAGGAUAGUAUCUAGUAUUGAAAGAUGCACAUCAGUGGUGGUCGGACAUCUUUGUUCAGAGCUAUGCGCGAAAGGUGAAAUUGAGUAGUUAAAGCAGUAGUGCAGUACUAUAAUAGAGGUUUUUACUCAUGAGGAAUGUGUUGAAUAUCAUUUAUAUGGGCUUACUAAGUAUCAUCCAAAAUAUAAAAUACCCCACUGAGUACUAACAGGCUAAAUAGGACAUGAAUUCUUAGAGAAUAUGAUUUAUUUUUACCUCACUAUAUGCUGUGUCAUGAAGGCUAAACAAACAGUAAGGUAGCAUAGUUGAUACCCAAGGCUUGUUCUGAAGCAAACUCUUCCUGCGAGGUGAAUCCCGAUAAUUGUCUUUUGGUGGCAAUGCUUUGACUAUUUUGGUAUCCUUUUCAGGAACUUUAUGUUUGUGUAUAGUCUCCUGUAGUAAAGUCACGUUAAUAAUAAGACUAGAUAAUAUUUGCAGUAAUAGAGUGACAAUAUGCCUCAAAUGAAGUUAAGUAAAUACUACUAUAGUAUAGCGUAGAAUACAUAGCAAGCAUAUUUUCUACAAAAAUGACCACACUACACUCCAGUAGUGUAUUUAUUAAUUGCAUCUUGGGCAGCACAUGCUGCAAGUUAUGUUUAUUGGAGAAUUUAUGGAAUACAAGAUUUGAUUUUAUCAAGCAGAAGCAAAAAUAAUGACAAAAAUUAGUGUCAAUAUUUUCUAUAGGCAACUAAAACGAUGAGAGAUUUUUUUAGUUGAAAUGUUACGUACCGGAAGCCAUGUACAGCUUAUUAGGACAAUUGUAGCAAAUGACGAUACACUUAGACAGGGUAAGAGGUAAGGAAAUCUGCAAAAUCCAAUUAAUUGAGCUAUGAUAAUAUGCAAAUGUACACCACUAAUUUCUAGCAAUUUGUAAUGGACUAUAGUUGCGCCUGGAUAAUUUACCCGGCAAAAAUUGAAUCUUUGGAAAAUAUGUGAGGAUAUUUUUCAGUAGGCUGUGAAAGAAAAAAGAGACUGGAGUAAGAAAAUAAGAUACUUUUUCUCUCCUUUUCUUUUUUGAACUGGUACCUGUGCAAGGAAGCCUCCAAGAGCUGGACCAACAAUAAGACCCAAAGCCCAUGCCGUGUUCACCUAUGAUUAAAGUACAUUCAGUUAGACUAAUCUUCGCAAUGAAAGGGUUACGUAUAAAAUACGCAGAGCUUGAUUCAUGAGAUUACAAGUGAGAGUCCAAGUGCCUGAUGUUCAGUUCGACAAACUUCAAUGCAAUAUGCCUACAAAGGUUGAUGAAUGUAACUUCUAAUUUAGCAUACUCUUUUUGAAACACAUAAGUUAUAGUCUACGGAUUUAUUGAAACUAGUAAUUUAGAAGUACCUUUAUUGGGGCAAGUAGGCCAUUUAGAGCACCCAGCACAAAUCUUGUAGCAAUUGCCAUCCAAUAUGUUGUACUUAGACCAAACAGUGUGUUAAAUAUGACCCUGUAUAGUGCAUGCAUGUGGGAAAAUGAAUUGAGUACUAAACAAAUAUUAAAAUCUAAAUGAGCUAACAAUGAAAUAUAAUUUCUGUAAUACAUACACAGACAAGAUUGAAAAUGCGAUGACAGGCUUCCGUCCAAUACGAUCAGAGAGAAUGCCCCAAAAAAUUGCAGCAAUGGCUCUGCCCACCAUGUAUGAUGCAGCUGCAAUUAGAAAAUGCAUUCCCAUAAGUAUUUUACAUUUAAAUUUUGAGCUUUGUGUGAUAUUAGUACUCCAACUUUAAUAAUAUCUAACUUAAAAAUCGAUGGUGAGACAGAAACUAUACCUAGAAAACCAGCAUAAAAACCAAUAUCUUCCUCUGUUUUAGAAAUGUGGAAGUCCCUUACCUAUGAAAAGCAGGAAGAAAGAUAUUACUAAAUAAGCAUAAGGUAUACAAUCGAGAAUAAUCUGAUUAUGUUAAUGAUAACAUUAGGCUGAGUCACAUCAGACCGAGGAAACUACUUGGGUGUGGAAAUAUCCUCACAACAAAAUGCAGAUGUGUACCUCCCAAGUCUAAAUUAUUGGAAGUUUGGAACUCAUUCGGUUUAGAGGUAUACAAAACAAAAGAAAUCUUUUGACAUCUAUGAGCAGCAGAUUGCUACAAGUACAAACUUAAACUACUUCCAAAGGCUCCUACAAUAAACUGAAACUACAAUUCAAAAACAAAAAUGAAACUGAAGUCAUCACAACCCAUUACUUGCAGUGUUCCUAUCUUUGGUCAUCUCGGCACAGCGUGAGUAUAUAAAACGGAGAACAUGGGUACAUAAGCCACUGAUUGCGCUGCAUGCUGCUGUAGGAUCGUAGCCACCGAUUGAGUAAUUAAGGUCAUAAAGAAUGUCACCGUCCUCAAGAUUAAUACAAAGUGAUAUACAAGUAGAUGACUGACUAGAUAACAUGACAGUACAUACCAUGAAAUAGAUGAAUGGGAAGAGGCACGUGAUUGGUAAAGCUGAAAAAAACACAAGGGAAAAAAAGUUACAUUAUCGUUAAUAUUUUGUCUGAACCAGAUCUCAGCUUGCAAAUUAUUGAAAACAUUGAUCGAGUAAUUAAAACAGUUAGUAAAGCGCGCACAGCUAAGGCGUUAGAUGGAUGCAAAUGAGAAAGGAACAAGGUGGCAGGUAGCUAGACAUAGUAGCCAGACACAUAAGAGAGCAAAGCUGCUGCAGACGCAACUGCUCCCUAUGUUUGUUAGUUUCAACUUGAAUUUCUGACUUCAAUUUGGAAGCUCCAUCAUCAGUCGUCUUAUAUACUAGCAGUUACACAAAAAGGGGAGACUAAACAGCCGUAUUAGUACCGAUCCAAUCGGGACUGGCACAGAAUAUUAAGUUCUGUUGAUAGCUUGGUCUUAGCCAGCAUCCUACAUGCAUGAACAUAAUGCUGGAUCUCAGAUGGCAUUGCCAUAAAAAGAUAACUUUUCGGACGAUUUUUAAAUAUCGAGUUGCAGCCUUUUAAGAGCAAUGGUGGGCUGUCUUCUGCUUUUCGUUGUGAUCAGCUAGACGAAGUUAUGCUACCUAGAGGAGGCAGAUCAAGAUUCAGGCAUGCACCUUCCUACAACAGCAACAACUACCAAAUAUUUACAUGCAUGCACGUCCAAUUUUCUAUCACGGGUGGGGCCAGCAACAUGCUCUGUCCUGUUUGGUCCAGGCAGAAUGUCUCCGGCGACGCUCAUCACCGGCGGCCGGCGAGCCGGCAGCGGUGGCGGACACUACUUAGAGCAUAAUGCAAGCAUUCCCUGACGACCGAACUAGGCAAGAAUCAAAAUUGGCACAGUGCAGGCUCGAGUUCGAUGUAGUACACCGGAUGCGUGCAUGUCCAACAGAGUAGCUAGCAAAACCCAAGAUGACUGAACCCAGUUGCCGCGCGCAAGGCAUUGUCUAGAGCCUAAUGUAGAGCAACAGUAAUCGAAAUACGUACAUGAGGCGAGGGAGGUGACGCCGACGAAGAAGAGCUCCUUGUAGGGGAUCCUCCCUUUGCUGCUCGCCUUCCGCCGCUCCAUCACGCAGCCGGGGCAACCCUCCACCGCCGGCGCCGGCAGCAGCAGCGGCGCUUCCUCGGAGCCCAUCUCGACAAGACAAUUUGCUUCGGUCACCUAGCUACCUAGCUAUCUGCAAUGCAAAGCCACUAUCACACUGGCACAGCAUGCAACUGCUCAAGCUCCCUGCUCCUCUAUAUAUCCAUCCACAACACGGGUGGGCGCGGCAAUGCUGCUGCCUGCAGAGAACGUGCUCCACGAGCAAUAACAGUUUACCCCCACCUGGAACACAAAGAUAGCUACACAACAUCCAAUUUUUCUGACAAAAAUGUUCUCCACAACUUCGCUUCCACAGUUUUAGUAUGUGCUCUCUGGCUGGUCUCUAUUUACAGAAAAAUACAUGUCCGAUUAAGGAUGCCAUGUUUUUUACACGACGCGAAGGAUGGGCCAGUCAGCAGAACAAAUAGAAUCUUGAACAAGCAGAGCAAAUAGAACCAAACCAGAUAAACCAUCAGGGUAGAAUUGUCUACUAAUUUCAUUUCCAACAAAUAAUUCGGAGUUGUUGUACCUUACGUUAUUGCUACUUACAGUGUAGCAACUCGGCACAAAUGCCUGUCUAAUCAAAAGCAAGCAAUCGAUUGGCCGCCAUUUACCAAUUAUGCAUUUCCUCUACUAAAAUGCUGCAGUUACAUAAUAGCACUUACAGUUACACGCAAAAAUCUCCAUUUUCCUCUUUCAGGUUCCUCCUGGUGGAAGGGCAUUAUGCCCUUUACCUCACGGGUGCGUGACUUUUCCAUUUUCCUCUCUCAGGUUCCACCUGGUGGAAGGGCAUUAUGCCCUUUACCUCAUGGGUGCAGGACUCUAUUUGAAUAUUCCUAAACUUCCACAAAUUGAGUUUUUAAUUUCUAUUAUAUUGCUCUGGCACAGCCAAAAAGGGUUUGAAUGUGAGAAUAAGUCCGAGUAACUCAAUCACAUUCAGAAGAAAGAACACCAUCUGAUCACCUGUGCAGGUAGAAUUAGAAAAAUUAUGUGCACCGCCAAAAAGAAAAAAAAAGGUAUCUGGAAUGUCCUAAAAAGGAACCUAAAUUUACCUGGAAAGAAGAAACCAUGCUGCCGUUUCUGUGCCCACGAGAACCUGAAUAAAUACACCCAAAAUGAAUCAGCAACAGUACAUGCUUCACGUGGAGCAGAUACAUUCUCAAUCAAAUUUACAAAGCAGUAGGGCACUAGUAGAUCAAAUCUACAGGAUAUCUAAGCCUUGCUACUUUUGAAACAUAAAUUUAGCAGCAGGUGUAGUAGUCAAAUUCAAAAUACACCUCAGCCUUCCUAUUUUUAAGCUUCAAGCACAUUUCAUUUAACUAUAGGCAACGAUCUGUAUUGACAGUUUAUUUCAACUUGGAACUCAACAAAUUUCUUUAAAGAAGCUACAGAAACAAAUUGUACUCACACAAUACCAGCUCCUGCUGGAGCAACUGCCUUGAAAAACGACAUUCCUGUCAUGGACAAUCCAUUUGCAGCUCCUCUUUGGUCCUGAGGCUGUUAACAAGUAUUGGCAUCAGUCAGUUGCAGAUUAGGAGCAGAACUUUAACAAUAAAAAUUGAGCUGAACACAUGUGUGCAUACCACAGCAUUAUUUUGAAGGAUGAAAGUGCCCGUAAUGAUGGUAACCUGAUAUAGUAUGCCGUAAACUUUAAUUAUAACAGAAAAUAAAUAAUACAUAAAAUCUAAAUAUUCAAUAGAAAAAGGGCGUAGACCGCUAAGUGGUGGGUAACGAUGCAAGAUUCAUAUGCUUAAUAUUUUUCAACCAUCACCAGGAACUAAAGUUUUUUCUUUUCUUUUUUUUUCUAUUUUCUGAGCAGAGUAACUGCAUACUUUGUAAAUGUAUCAAAACUGCCAUAUACACAGUUAUUUGGUUCUAAAAGAUCAAAUAACAUGACUCACAAUGGGAUGCAAAAGAUACUCACAGCAAGAUUAUUUUUUAUCACUGAUGCAACAUUGAGAACGAUUGAUAAUCCAGGUUCUGACAGGUAUGUCAUAUAGGGGUAGGCAAAGAGGAUAGGUAUGCACAGGAUCUGCAAGAUUGAGCAAAAUAGUUCAGAUAAGCAGCCAGAAGAGGAGAGAGACUGCAUCAACUAUAAGUAGCAUAAGCUUUUACUCACAGCUGCAAUCCGAGAAGAAUUGAUAGGCCCAAGAACUUUAUUGAUACGAGGGUACAGGAACAGUUGAUAUACAAGAAGACUGGCACCUGUAAUGGAAGAGGUAAAAUAAUGUAAAUGGCAUUAUCACAAAUACUAAAAGUUGGUUGCAAAUACCAGCAGAGGACAAAAUUUGCAGAUUUAGUACAGCUUCAGGGGAAUGAUCGAGAAAUCAUUUUUUCCACAUACGUGUGAAAGGUUUAUAAUUGGGUACAUACAGUUAUCUAAUUAAUAUUCUGUAGUACAAAAACCACUUUAGACUAUAAUGGAGUUUUUAAAAAUUAUAAACACUAACAAUAAUAAGAAAUUCACCUGUAACUGCAAGCACUUGACCUACAUCCUCGGACGAUAAGCUGAGUCCACCAUACUUCUUGUCACUUUCAGCCCAUAGAGAGAACACCUGGAAUUAGUUUUUGUUAGGGCUCUAAUACAUGCUGAAGUGUCUUCUAGACUAUCCAGGGGGAAAAAACUAGGUCCUCAAGGCAAUAGCAAGACACAUCAUACAUAAUUUCAGAUCAUUUUCAAAUAAACAUGGAAAUACAAAGUUAUAUGUUGGUACAAAUUCAUAUAUGUAACCAAGGAUAAACAAUUGAUAUUCACAGCAAUAAAAACCACCCUUAGACUGACAGGGAUAGAUUGCUUGAAAACAUCCACUAUAUUUUAAUAGCUAACUAACCUACAUCAAUUUACAGAUCAUGUAACAAUAAAAGUCGUGUUCCAAAACAACUAUGCCACUUUUCUCCAUAUAUUUUGAAAUCUCCAGUUUCUGGCAGCUUUAUUGGGUGCCAACUUUUUUUCUGACUUAAAUUUUAAUCCCAGAAUGAAUACACCAUAUUGAACAUUAUUAGGACACCAAGACCAAGUUCUUCAAAUCUCUAACAGAGCAGUACUAGGUAUGUUCAUAGCAUGCAUAGAUUCUUCCUAGCUUUUCAAAUCAUAAAUAAAUAUCCCACAAGUGGUAAUAAACAAGUACCUCUGUGUAAGCCAUGUCAUGGAAGGAGAAGAUGCAAUAGAUAACUAUUGAUGACAUCAAUGGCCAAUUCUUGAAUAAGCUCUUCUUGGUAUUCAAACUUCCACUUUCUUCAACCUUUUCUUUUGGAUCAAUCAGAUGAGCCUCCAAAGCUUCAAUGCUCUGGUUUUCAUUUUCACUACCUUUAUGCUUGUGCAAAGUCUCCUAUAAAACAUUUUGAGAUGCUUUAUGGUGGGUACAGAGGAAUCAAAAUUAAGUACAAAAUAUUGGUGGAUGCCAAAUGAAUUCAAAGCGAUUUCACAUACCGGCAUCCAUAUGCAGCUUAUGAGAACAGCAGCAGCAAAGACUGACGUGCAUAAGCAUGGUAAGAAAUACGGGAACCUGACAAGUUUCCACAGAAAGUAAGUACUCUGUAAAUUGAUUAUUUGGGACUAUCUUCUUCUGCUAUGAAAAAAAGAAAUACCUUCCAAAGAGUGAUUCAGGUGAAAAGACAUUUGGAAAAUUUUCUGCAGGCUGUCAUAAGGAAGCCAGGUUAGCGCUGACAGUUAGAUAUGCUUUAAUAUUGUAAAAUUGCCUCUGCUGUACCAGUGCAAGGUAGCCUCCUAGAGCAGGACCAAUGAUGAGACCUAUUCCCCAUGCUGUGCUGACCUAAAUUACGUGAAAGUGAAUUCAAGUAUGAAAAUCAUUAGAAUAUAUAAGAAAUAUUAGUAACACAUCAAUGUGAAUCUUGUAUCUUACAAGUGAUAAUGCUAGAGCUUCAUGUUCUGGUCGGCAAACUUCAAUGGCAUAAGCCUGUAACAUUCAAGCAAGAUGUUAUUAACUACAGCGCAUUCUAACAUUUAAAAGCUUGCAAAUUCACAAUACCUUAAUUGGUCCAAGUAGACCAUUUAAAGCACCAAGCAAAAAUCGUGUAGCAAUUGCCAUCCAAUAGGUGACACUAAGCCCAAACAAAGUAUUGAACACAACCCUGAGAAAUUUUAAAAGAACUAAGUUAAGAGUCUCAUUUCCACGCUCAAUCAACAUUCUUCCAUAUAAAUGGAGGCAAAAUGUUACUAACACGGAGAAAAUGCCGAAUAUAACAACUGGUUUUCUCCCAAUACGGUCUGCCGCUAUUCCCCAAGCUGUUGAAGUCAAGCAUCUACCAAACAUAAAUGAAGCACCUGAAAGCAUCCAUGGUAUGUAACUGAUCAGUCACAAAAAAAUCACCAUUUAUAAAUAUUGAACUAAGCCAAGCUGAAUAUGAGGGAGAAAUUCAUCAAAACUAACCUACGAAACCAGCAUAGAAGCCGAUAUCUUCUGUUCUUUUAGCAACAUUCAAGUCUCUUAUCUGUACAGUAAGAGACAACAUGAACCCUCUUUAGGUAAAGGUACUUACUAGAUGCAUGUGUGCACAGGUAUAGACAAAAAAAAGGUCCUUAGGCAGAUCAAGGUAUCCAAAAAACAUAAUUGAUGUACUACCAACUUAUUUGUCAUAUACUGCAAAGCCCUGAAUAACCAGAAAAAGAUUACCAAAUUGUGUACAUACCAUAAAAUACAAGAAGGGGAACAGCGAUGAUAUUGGUAAAGCUGAAAAAAGAAAGAAGAAAAAUUAGAAACAGUAAAUAUGCAAUGGACGGUAUUUAUGGAAAUAAAGAAAAGACACGAGAAGUGAAGCAAGAUUAGCAACAUUGGGAAACAAAUGCCAGUAAUGUUCUGUAGGUCCAGAAGUGCGGACGCGGACAUUUAUCAAGUUAGUUCAGUAAUAGUGAGAGUGACUAAGAAACUGCUGAAUAAGACCUGAGAGAAGUGCUCAUGCACUCGGAGAAAUCAACCUUAAAUAAAGACAGCAUAUGAUUGCGCAUGAUUAAAGAUUGUGACAUGAUGAACAGUAUAAGUACAGAGUUUUAACUGUUAAGUCCUAAAUGCCACCUAAUUUAAGUGGUCCUGCAACUUGUCACAAAUUAAUAUUCCAUCGGAAGUUGCGUGGUAUCUCUGUCAGUACAUCUUCAAAAUGUGAGGAGGUGAUAUAGCAGAGGUAGGGAGACACUGCAACAACUGCAAACAACCCAUAAUUACAGGACAAAAAAAUUGGUAGCACCUGCAGCCUCACAGCAGGAAAUUUUUGUAAAAUUUCUGCAAUGAGUCAAUGACACAGUAGCAAAGAAUUGCUGCAGCAAACUCAUGUAGUUGCAGUACAUUUCUCUGUCUUGGCAAUGGCAACCACAAGCACUAGUUAUGACCUGCUAGCUAUUGUAACAUGUCAUUGUCAAGAGAGAAGUCAUCCGGAAGGACCCGAAAAGAGGGUGUGCUAUGGAAGAGGAGUCCGUACCGGCCGUGAGAGAAAUCAUCCAGACAUAGAGGAACUCCUUGUACGGCAUCCCCCUGAGGAGGUCCUUCCUCCGGUCGUAAGCGCAGCCUGGGCACCCCGGGUGGUACUCCUCCUUGACCCUGAGCAACGGCGAAGUGGCUUCCUCCCCCAUUGUCGGCAACCAGCGAAUUCCUUGCUGACCCGGCUCCCUCAAUGCUUGCUCAGAACAGCACCAGAGAUGGGAGCAGGGAGCGCGCAAUUAAUGGCGCCUCUGCUCUCGGCCAGAAGAAGCGAAUCAAGGAAGGCAAAGGCCAAUCCUUCCAGCGCUGGCAGGUGGCCACCGAAGUCGCCAAAGAUGUGUCCUUUCGCCCUGCCGUGCCCAAUGCUGGGGGCAAUUAGUAUUGCCCAAUGCGAGAGCCGUUCGUCUAUGGCGGCGUUCCCAUCUUGGGGAAUUGAAGGGGAGGACGAGGAAGACGAAGCCAACACUAGUUGCACCUCGUCCGGCUCACAUUGGACGUGGCGCCAAACGGAACUGCUUCCAAUCCAAUCCAACCACGCGUUGCAGGGCAUUGGCAUCGCUUCACGGGCGCCGGAACCCCAAAAAAAAAAAACAGAGAGAGAGAGAGAGAGAGAGAGAGAGAGAGAGAGAGAGAGACGAAUGGAUGGCUGCCCUGCCCCCUCUCCUCUGCCUGGAUGGGAACGGAGGAAGGAUUGCGUAAUUGCGUCGCAGAAGAAGAGGAAGAUUCGCGGAGGUUCCUAUUGUGUGGAUAGAAUGGGCCUCAGCAGGCCUAUUAUUUAACUGCUGGUAUAUGGGCUGGGCCAAGAGAAGUAGGAGUCGGGCCUAUGCUCAUUUUUCUAUUUCCCCAUGGAUGGAUGGCUGCUUAAUCAUCAUCAUCAUUUAUGCCUCCUGUGCCUAUUUUAUUUGAUCAGUACACGCCUCUCUGUAUUUCGUCUUGACGAAAACGUAAUUUCGCAGCGCUGAAGGCUUUUACACAAAUGGCUGAUCGCUAAAGUGAUGCAGUGAUGGCAACAGCAGCUACGGUGUUGGAGUUGGCAACUCUCGUCAUGAUCAUAGCAAAAGAAAAGGAAAAAAAAACACAAAAGAACUAGCCACAAGAAAAGGAAAAAAAAACGCAAAAGCAUUUACUAGCAAGCAGGGGGAUCCGAUAUGGUCGAGGCCGGAGACACAGACACAGAGGUAUGGAGCAGCCAGUACGUACCUGUGCAGAGGGUGACGAUCCAGACAUAGAUGAAGCUCCCGUAGGGGAUGCCCGGGUUGGCCGCCUUGCGACGGUCCACGGCGCACCCGGGGCACCCUUCCACGUACAUCCUGCCGCCGGCGGUCUUCGUCUCCAGCAACGGCGACGACUGCCCCUCGUCCUCCAUUGUUUGGCUCCUGGAGAUGGAUGCCGAUCGAUAUUCGAUGUGCUCCCUAGCUUCUCUCCUCCCUCCGGAUCCUCUCUGUCUCUUGUACUAGUGGCGAUAGAUCGAUGGGAUGCCCGACCCCCAGCAAUGAUUCCCUCAGAGGAACGAAUGGCUGAGAUGGGCGGGUACAGUGUCUGACCUCUGCACAUGCAUUUCCUUUUUUUUUUCUGGGCCGGAUGGAAACGAAAGAGAUCGAUGGACAGCAGAACUGAAGGGGCGCGUGCUUUUAAUUUGGUGGCUUCCGUUCCGCGGUGGUCAAGCAGCUAGCUACUCCGAAUGGAAGUGCCUACGCUGAUUCGAUCCGAGCUAGAAAGCCAAAUCGAAUUGCCUAUUGCUACUAGCCAAUCCAAUCGAUCGGCCAGUAUAUAUGCUGGCCUGGCAUCAGCACAUGCGUCAGAGAGUGCCACUGCACACCUCAGCAGCCAGUUUGUCGCGAGCUACUCCAUCCGUCCCAGAUUACUGUGUAGCUUUUUGUUACGUAAUUAGAUACAUGCCGUGUUUAGAAAAGUUACGACGAAUAGUAAUUUGGAAUGGAGGGAGUACUACGUGUAUGGUCACCAUAGAUCCUCUCCUAAUAUUCGUUGCUCCCUCUGUUCCAAAAUGUAGAUUGUUUUAGUUUUUCUGAUCUCAUAGAUUUUGAUAUGUAUCUAGGUGGUAUAUCUAGAUACAUGGCAAUAUCUAUAAAUCUAGAAAAGUUAAAAUGAUCUAUAAUUUGGAAUGGAGGAAGUAUUAUAGCUGCUUCCUCAUCGAUAAUUGAUCGAGUCCGCGGAAAAAAAGUUAAAAAAAAGGACUUGCAUGCCUCCUGACCGUGAAUUAAUUAACUUCUCCACAUGGUUAUUUGUUUUGAGCAGUCCGUGAACUAGUAGUCAUAUCAAUAGCAAAGGGCCAAGCUCGCCCCUGACCAAACAUUGACGUCCACGCCGAUUUGAUUUGAUUCACGAAAUAAAAGUGACAGUGAUAGAUGUCUUUGACGUCUUCUUCAUGUAACAUACUCAUUCAGAUGUCACUCACUUUGUGUUGAAGGUGAUGAAGCUAAUAAGCUUGCAUUAGUUGGCACUUGGUUACAUCAAAUGCCCAAAUCCAAGUAUAUUUCCAUCCUAGGUUAAUGAUAUUCAUGUGAUUUCUUUAACUUGGUAUUGCACAUUUGAUCUAGUAAAUGUCCUCCUGUUUAAUUGUCGUCUAUUCUCUAGCUUUUGCAAGUCGGAUACUCAUUUAUUAUAUAUAGCCACACUGCCACACAACAUCAUUAACUACACGCAAAGUGAUUCCUUAACUAGUAGAAAAUCAUUGCAAUAUUUUUCAUAUACUAGAUUUACAUCUUAGAGAUACACAGCAUGUACAAAAGAACAUUCAAAGCUGAUAGAACCCCAAAACGAAGUUGUUCUAGCAAAACUGUUGAUAGUAUAUAGAAAUGGCACCUUUAGAUGGUGUAAAAAUGACACCUUUAGAAAAUUUUAGCAAUGGCGUAUCAUGGUAAAAAUAACACACAACUUGUCUACGCCAUUAGCCAGAAGGGUUAGCUCGAAGAAGAUUGCUUUGGCACAUCUAGAAAUGGCUUGAAUGUCCAAAUAAGUUCAAAAAGUACGACAAUGUCCAGAAGGAAGAACACCAUUUGAUCACCUGCAUACCAAACCAAGUAAUGCAUUGAAACGAUCAAACAAAUACAAAAGCUAACAAUUGAUGGUUUUCAUCAUAGUUCCAUAUUAUGGCAAGUUAUUGAGAGCUAUAUAUCCACUAAUUGUAGUAUCCCUGGAUGGGUGUGAACAACAUUAGCUACGAAGUCUGGGGAAAAAUACUUCUUGUUGUCGGAUGCAUUGAUGUGAAGGUAAUAGAUGCCACAAGUGUUAGUUGCUUAACACAUCAACCUUUUUUUUUUGCUAUCCGUGUGGUAGAGAAACACAACCAAAAUGGCCAUGUUCCCAAUAGAAAAGGUUAACAAACAAUUCCCUAUGCCCACUCACACGACCCCACCGAAGAAGCUAAGUCCAGCCGAAGUGAACUGGUGAUGCCAAAAUGAAAGCAUGCAUGACUUCGCAGAACUCACACAUCAACCUUUGCUAGUAAGCAUCAACCUUUACGCCCAUUGUCUCUAACCUACAUCAUGGUUUCGCAAAACAUUGAGCAAAGGGUAUGUGCCACCUAGAAAUUUUUUGUUUUCAAAAUUCUAGUUCAUUUUUUUCUCAAAGUGCAAUCUAAAAUAUAGUAUUUAACAAUUUAUUUUAGAAUAGAAUCUAACAUAUUUACCUGGAAAUAUCAAAGCAUGUUGGUGCUUUUGUGCCCAUGAAAAUCUGCAUUAACAUGUUAAGAUGAUAUAUCAUCAGAAUCAUUAGCAUUUAUCAAUUCAACCAUUGUUGAAAUGAAUUAAGAAACACUCAAAGCUAACAUCCUAUAUUUAUGGGGUAACAAAAAUGUUGUCUCUAGCACGUGUGUAUCACAUGCUAUAGCAAAUUAUAAUAAACAUAUGAUAUAUGAUUCUACAUAAACCUACUCAAUUAAUAUAUUUCUUCUAUAACUACGGAGACUAAUAUUCCAUUAUUAUUUUACUUUAGAACACUAAAUACUCAUGAUUUAAAAGUGCUAUAGGAUAAGUAAUGUACACUAUUCCUAGUUACUCCUAAACAAAUUGAAGAAACCAGCUGUAAAUCAAAUAUAAUCUAUAAUACACAUAUAUUAUUUUAUGGAACUCAUACCAUCAUUUUUUUUAUCCCAUUUGCAUUGCAAUUCAAGGCAAAGUUGGAUUUAUAUAAACUAUUUGUUAAAACAAAGUGGCUCUUGAAAGGAAUAUAUAACAAGAUGGUAUUUCCAAAAUAUUAAAGUGUUUAUAAGCAAAUUCUAGUGACCAAAUUUGUACUUACACAACACCAGCUCCAGCUGGAGCAAAUGCCUUAAAAAGGGACAUCAAUGUAGUUGCUAUGCCAUUUGCAGUUGCUCUUUGAUCUUGAGGCUGUUAAUUACACAAAAUCAUCUAUUUUUUGUAUAGGAAGAUUGAUUCGAUUGAAAUAGAGUGUAAAUGUACAUACCACAGAAUUAUUCUGAAGAAUGAAGGAGCAUGUUACAACGGUAGCCUAAUAUGUAUGAAAAAAAUGGACAAUAUUAUUAUGAUAUGGACAGGAACAUAUUAAUUAACAUAUAACCCCAAUUAUACUUGUAUUGUGAGGAACAUAACAUGUGGGCCUCUUAAACAAGUGUUCCUAUCAAUUUCUAGAAAAGAGACAUAAUUAGAUGUUUGUGGUUAGUGCGUAGCAUACAAAAUAUUUUUAAAAUAAGUCAUUUAUUUUGGAGAAAUUGUAAGCUUGUAGUAUACACAUUUAGUUUGUUUUCCUAAUUCCUACCAAUAAGUGUUGCUUUUAUUGUUUUCCUAAUUCCUACCAAUAAGUGUUUCAAAAGCAUGCACACAUAUAACUUCAAGUUUCAAGGGUACUCACAACCGAACAACUUUUAAGCACCGAUGCAAUAUUUACAACAAUGGAUAUCCAUGGUCUUGACAAGUUCGCCAUAGGUGGAUAGGUGAAAAGAAGCACCAUGGAUAGAAUCUACAAUAUUAAUUGGUCAUUAUAUUUUAAAGAUUAAAGUAUUUAAACUAGCAAUAAAAUGUGACAAUAACUUGUAUACUCACAAUUGCAAUACGAGAAGAAUUGAUUAGUCCGAGAACUUUUACAAUAUAGGGAUAAAUAAAUGUUUGGUAUAGAAGGAUGCUAGCACCUACAACACAUAAAGAAGUAAGUUCAUUUUAUAAUAGGAAUAAGAAAAAAUGAGGUUAAAGCAAGGUUUCCAAUAAAGGUGGUUGCUAAUAACUAGAGGCAAUGUACAUUUUUCAUAGCAAGUUCAUGAAUUUAUUCCAUCCUAAACAAUACAUUUGGGAAGAUCAUGAAUUCAACGUGUUUAGCUAACAUAAUGCAUAUAUAAAAGGAGCUUACUAGGCGUCCGCUACCUCUCUCUAUCAAAGAAAAUCUCUAGCGAGAUGCUAUAUGCUAGAGCACAAAACAUGAAUAUGAAGCCAAUUUUAGCCCUUUUUUUAGUCAUAGAUGAUUGGAAUAGGAACAAAGUUGAUAGGUUCAUUUCUUGGACUCGAAAGUUGGUACCUGUCACCAAAAGUACAUUACCAACAUCUUCAGAUGAGAAACUUAGUCCACCAUACUUUUUGUCACUCUCAGACCAUAAAGAAAAUAUCUGAUUUGUCAUUUGAGAUAUCAAGGGUUAACUCAAAUAUAGAAGGUAAUACUUUGAACAAAAAGGUAAACUAAGUGAUCAUAUAAAUUACAAAUAGUUGGAUUUUUUCAUAAUUUAUUUUUCACCACACAUUCAAAGAAAACAUCUGAGUGAAAUGAUAAAAUGCAACCACGCUAAGCAAAAAUAUUGAAUUGUAUCAAUAGAAAAAUAUGGAGACUCAAGUUCGCUGGUAAAGUUAUAUUCCAUUGACUUAAUCACAUAAAUAACAAUGAUUGAUGAUAGUUCAAAAAAAUAAGAACCAUAAAUAAUGGACAUAUUUUUUUGCACUUAACUUAAUACUAUAGGGAUUUUUUUCAAAUUUAAUUUUUUUACAUAGCCCAAGUACAUGUUGAUUUAGUUGGAAAAAUUAAAAUUAAAGAUUUCUUGGUAGGAUGUAGUAUCCAACAUGCAACUGAAAUUUGGUAGCUAUGAGUAUAACGUAUUUCUUGGUUAUUCUAGAUUUAUUGAAACAAUCUCAACUUGUAUGAAAUUUUUUACUCCAUAUCAUCUUCUCUAAUGGUGAGGUCCAACCAAUAAAUUGCAACAAGAGAUAAAAUUUUAACAAGAUCAUUAUGUGUUUCUAAAGUAUUAUUUUUACCAAUUAUUUUUUUUCAAAGGCAUAUUUGAUUAGGAUAGAUAAGUGUUUAGAUGAUGCAUGUUGAUUCUUACUAUAUAUAUUUAAUCUUUUCAAUAAGUUAGAAUGAUUAAAUUACAAAUUUCCCAAUUCCAUUUUGCCCUUUGGUAACACAAUUUGGGGUUCUUGUUAACAUCUAUUUUGACGUAUAAAGAACUAAACAUUCAACUUCAAGAGAACAAAAAAUCCAUGUUACAAUUUUUUUUGUUAUAAAAUUUGAAUUUAUAUGGGAUAUAAAAUUAAUUAAUGUUAUCAUCAUACAAACAACAAUAGUUAAUACCACAACUUGAUAAAAUUUAUUUAUGAAAUUAUGUUCAUGAUUAACCAAUAAGCUACGAUAGUUCAUCUUACAAAUAUAUGAUUCUAAUUAGUCAACCAUGUGCAUUCAAGUUAUAGUAACAAAAUAACCAAAUUAUUGAAAAAUAAUUAGGACAUACCUCUGAAUAAGCCAUAUCAUCAAAGCUUGUGAUACAAAAGAGAAAAAUAGAUGACAUUAGAGGCCAAUUUGUCAAUAGUCCCUUAUUCUUAUUUGAAGUACUAUAUUUCUUAACAAACUCUUCAGAAUCAGAUAAAUACGCAAUCAAAGAUUCAGGAUGUUGAUGCUCCUUUUUGUGGAGCUUGUGUGUAUGCAAUGUUUCCUGAAAAAUAUAGUGCAAACAUUGGUUGUAUUAAACAUAAUUUUUGGCGAAUACAUAUCAUUGAAUAAAACAUAAAAGUGUAGUUAUAAACAAUAGCAAUGAAAUUAAUGAACUUGCUAUAGUAAAUUAAUAGAUAAUUCAUGCAGGAGUGAGACAAAACUCAAAAGUCCAAUAGAUGCCAUGUUUUAUGCUGCAACACCAUAGAUCAUUGGAAACAAUAAUUUAGAAAAUAAGCAUGUUUGUGCUGGUGAUAGAUUUUGUACAAUUAUUUUUUUAAAAUCCCAUGGCAAUGCUUACAUUUUUCAACAAUGUAUGACUGGAGAUUUUUCUUGUCCUAAACUAUUGGUUUUGUACACAUGCAUGCAUCCGGCACUCCGCCUUGUAAAUUUUAACUCACUGCUUGGGGACCAAAGCUACGUUAUAUGUUUGCACUCCGGCAGGGAUCCUUGUAAAUUCAAUGGAAUAUGUCAACUCUCAGACCACCUUGGGUAGCUUAUUUCAAGUUAUUGGACGAUCAUAAUAUAGCUUAUAUAAUCUAGGACCAUAGUUUAUAUAAUUUAGGAGGGAACAAACAUGCUCUUAGACCCCGUUUGGUUCUUUAUGAGCUCGUAAAAUUCCUGUCACAUCAAAUGUUUAGAUACUAAUUAGGAGUAUUAAAUAUAGACUAAUUACAAAACCAAUUGCACAGAUGGAGACUAAUUUGCGAGACGAAUCUAUUAAGCCUAAUUAGUCCAUGAUUUGACAAUGUGGUGCUACAGUAAACAUGUGCUAAUGAUGGAUUAAUUAGGCUUAAUAGAUUCGUAUAUGCAAUUAGCCUACAUUUAUGUAAUUAGUUUUAUAAUUAGCUCACGUUUAGUCCUCCUAAUUAGCAUUCGAAUAUUCGAUGUGACAUGAAUUUCAGUCCGGACUAAAUAUCUAAACACACCUAACUAGUGGCCAGGCUUCCUGCUGACUGCUGAGUGAGGAUGGAACUUGCCGUGUCAGCAUUAAUCGCCAAUAAUGCAUGCAUAUUGCACCGCUCAUGCGUCAGUGAGCCAGUCAGUCAGGGUAUGGUAUGAUCCACAGCACGUCAUGCAUAGCCGCGCCGAUCCUUUAAUUUGUUGCGUGCUGCUGCCCUCCCUCCUCGCCGAUCUGAUUCUGAUCCGAUCCUUUCAGCUGCUUUCCGAUGAUCCUGUGUCCUUUUCAGAGUUGCAAUUGCAAGCAAACAAGGAUUAAUUACAGUAUUAAUUGCCCCGAUCGAUCACCUCCAAUGAUCCUGCCUGCAUUUGAUGAUUCAUUGUGCUUUUUUUUUUACCUCCUUCAUUUUCCUUCUCUUUAUUAAUUUGUUGCUGCUUCUGUCAGCAGGAUCGAUCACAUUGGAGCCAUGGAGACAGCAGAGGCCCAGGUCUUUUCAAACAAGAAGAAGAAUGUGAAAUUGCCAGUGGGUUUAGCCCAGGAGCAGGCCCAGGCCUGCGAUUAAGAGAAAAGGCCACUCAUCUGCUGCUGUUUCCUUUCAAGCGGGCCUUCAAUGUCAAGCCCACCCAAGCUGACGACGUCGCCGCCCCCCGCCGCCUCAAUGCCUGGGUCUACGAGAGGUUAACCUAUAAAUGGAGGCGGAUAUCGUCAUACAGAGGAUGCUGUAAACAGCUACUCCUAAAAGAAAAGUAGAAAACUUAACGUUAAUGAAUGAAUAUUGUGGAGGAACGUUUGUAAGCUACAGCCUAGCUACAUUAUAGAUUCUACAAGAGGCAUUCACUUUAUGGACAGUGGAACAUUGCAACUUACACAAUUACUAGAGUAGUCGGCACUCCUAAAAUCUGCAAUGAUCUACUACAGAAGUAGCACAUGAAGAGAUCAGUUCUGGACUCCUAACAUAUAACCACAUGAUAUAAUCAUAGAAAAGCUUCUUCUUUCUUGCUUAUUCGUCAUCAAGUUCAGAAAAGAAAAUGUAUCAGUGUUGUUACAGUAUAUGAAUGUCUGAAAAGUUCAAUUGUGUUUCACUGGAAAAUUUUGCACAUGUUUACAAAUAUCAACUAGAUAUCUUCGUGAGAAUUCAUGAGUAUUGCGUUUGAUUGUCGAGCAAUUUCAGAAGAUUUCACGUAGCAAAUUGCCAAAAAAAAAAAACGGUACUUCCCUACAGCCAGCUCUGGUUCAAGCUUUUUGCAGUGCAGUUUCUUGAAGAUCAUAGAAGCAUACUGAAGAUUUGUGCAAGUCUUAUUCACAGCUUAAGUUUCUGAAUACUGAAGGUACUAACAAUGCAAUCUGGCAUACUGCAUGUCAAUGAUCAGACCUUGUUCUCAAAGCUGUGACAGGUAAUAACAAUAAUCAAUUGAGAUUCAGAAUAAAAAAAUGACGGAAGCAUGAAAAAUUAAAAUUUCAUCAUUGUAGCAUGUUUAUUUUACAGCUUAAUGAAGAACAAACAUUUUGUUUCUUUGAUAUCUUGCUGUUGCUGUUUUAAAUUUAACCUGCAAGCAAAGCAGGAGCCUUAGACGUUGUCAAUACAACAUCGCAGAGCUCAGAGGCUCGUACAAAAGCGAAACAUCAAACUCCUCUGGACUUGUACGUGUUGACAAGUUUAGAUCUAUGUAUUUAGAAUUAAAAGUGCCACGUAUAAGAAUGCCAAGAGUAUAUUUUCUUUCAGUUCCAAAAGCAGAUCAUCUUUCCAGUUUACAAUGACUGAUUAGGUAGGAUACUUUCGCAAAAACAUUGGAGCUCUCCCAUUUAUAUAGGAAUUCCUAUAAAGUACAAUCUCUACCGAAUCAAACACAAACUGAUUAACUACCCUAACAAACUUUAACCUUCCUUGAAAAACGGGAGACCCCAAACGAUAUCCUUUGCACAAUGGCAGACUACUGUUGACCACCGGCAGACGAGCAGUCCCCCGUCGUCGUCGUGCCGGAGCAUUGUUGUUGCUCCGAUGGUGCCUGCACCUGCGGACUGAUGUCAAUGCCAAAGAGACGCACCACUCUAACACCUCCAGCCGGCGCAGGCGACGACGGCGGCGCCUCCUCCGCCUUGAUCGACAGCGCGAGCGACAGGCCUGGUGGCGUUGGCGCCGCCGCCGCCGCAAUGUCUUCCUCGGGCUGCAGCGCCAGCGCGAGACACCUCUUCUUGUUCUUCCUGGUGGGCACGAUCGGCGGGCCGGUGUAGUGCACCCUCAUGUGGCCGCCGAGCGCGACCCCCGUGGCGAACACCUUGUGGCACUUGCGGCACUCGUGCGGCGCCUCCUCCCUGCGGGAGCGGCGGAGGGCCGCGAGGAAAGCGGCGGCGUCCACGCCCGCGGGCAUCAUCCCGGCGGCCGCGGCCGCCGCCUCGGCCUCCCUCUGCCUGCUCCUGUGGCCCGCCGCGUGGCCGCCCAGGGCCUGGUUCGUCGUGAACGUCCUGCCGCACUCCUUGCAGGUGUACACCCGCCGUGGUGGUUGAUGAUCGGCGCGCUGGGGGACGACGAGUUGGGGUAGCUGCGCUGCCGCUUCCGGUGGCGGCGCUGCAACCGGAUGGUGGAGGUGGACUAGUUGAGCUUGCUCCGCAAAGGGCGGAGGCGGCGGCGCAGGCAUGUUGUGGACGACGACGGCCUGCGCGCUGCUGCUGCUGCUGUCGCCGGACACGUUGGAGUGGUUGCUCGAUUGAGGAUUAUUCAGAGGUGCAGCCGCCGCCGGUUUGCCCCCUGCCCAGCCCCGCUUGCCGGUGGCGGCCCAGCUCCCAUCGAGCGCGACGACGACGCGCUUGCGCUUCGGCUCCAUCCUGAAGACGGACGCGGGGCUGGGGACGCCGUCGGCGCUGAUGGUCCCGUCCGAUUCGCAGGAGGAAGCGGGCGUGGGGGACGGCAGGGCGUCGCCUCGGCCCAGAGCCAGGACGUCUCCCAUGCUGAGGUGGCGGGGGCGGCGGGCGUGCUGCGGCGGAGGGGCAGGAGCAGGGGCCUGGUAGUCGUCGGUGUCGGAGGAGGAUUGGUAGGCGGCGGGGACGAAUUGGCCCUCCUCUAGGUCAUCAUCAUCGGCGAGGCGGCGGGGAGGGAGGGAGGAGGAGCCGUCGGCCAUGUCGGCGCGGUGGGGGAUUGGGCCGGAGUAGGCCGGGCGGAGUUGUGAACUUGACUAGCAGCUAGGGUUUAGAGCGCGAAGUAGGAGGAGGCUGUGGUGCUUGGUUGUGGGCGGGGAAGAACGGCGGCGGCAGUGGGCUGGCUUAUAUUGCGGCGGCAAAGUAGGGUUUGGCUGGCUAGCGUGGGGACGUCGGAGAUUGCGCGGCAAGCAAGCAGGUCAUCGAGUGGGGUGCGGACUCCAACUCCGAUCCACCCACCCACAAACACGCAAGUAACCGACUAGUACUGCAGGAUUCACUUGAUCUAUCUGCAUCCGAACAUGGUAACUGAAAAUCGCCAUCAAUCUGUUACGCGGCCGAUCUGAAACGGAGUACGCGGAGGAUCGACAGCUAGCUGUACGUGCUUGAGUGGCAAUAAUCCAACGGAUUGAGGUGAGCACGAUACACGUACGGCAGGCAAUCAGACACUUUCUAAUCUUUAUCCCUAGCUAGUGUGACCGGCCUAUAAGCAAGGAAAGAGAUUAAGACUUGCGUUUGUAUUCCAAUUUUUUGAUUGUUUAAUUUUGUAGGCCACGUAAAAUCGUAAAUGAUUAGUUUCAACGAUGGAGGUUUAGCCGUUGGUUGUUGCCAUAAUUGAGGAUAUCGGCUAUCGGCAGUGUAUGAACGGAGAAAGCGAAUCAUGCAACAUUCGUGUGCCCUGUCACUAAUCAGCUAGGGGUUGUUUAUCAAAUACACCCAGGUGUGGAGGGGCUCUUAGCAUUCGAUUUUUUUCUCCGUCGGAUCUGAAGUGGAUGUCUGAGAUGAAAUCCUCCAUCCCUUACCUUCUUCCCACAUGACCCUUAUCCAUUCAUGGUGCACGCGAGGAAAGGCCCGAGCCCCCACCACCUCCACCUCCGCCGCCGCCGCCGCCCCUCACCUCCCACCCUAGGCCCCCCCCCCCCCCCACACACACACAAAAAAAAACUAACCCCUUUUAACGUUGCUCCUUCCCGGUGUCUUCUUCACCAAGUCUGCUCGAUCUCCCCCCACGGCCACCGGCUGCCCGCUCGACUCCGGCGGCAAAAUGCCACCUCCACCACUGCCGUCGACCACGACCGAUGCUAAUCUGUUAGUCUUACGUCUCCGCCGCCUCCAUUGCCCAGGGGUCUUCCAUCACCCGGUUUCGGUGACGCCCUCACCGCCUCCGCUCCCAUGUGUCUCUCCCGCCUCCACUGUCAGCCGGCGAGCCACCCCGAAUCUUCCUUUAGGUCCGUAGGCACAUGUAGUCCCCCAACACUAACCCCCAACCCUGAAACUCUAAAGCUUGCCGGAGGAAUCACCUACCAUUGCCGGAGGAGGAAGAAGAAGCGAUGCAUGCGUCGAUUGGUUGAAAAUUCUGAGUGCUGGAGCCCUCAGCUAUUCAGCUCGCAAUCGCAUCCCAGCAAUAUCGCAUAGGAAAUGGGACGAGGAUCUUGGUCUUGGUGCCAGCAGUGACCGGAUCGCACGGCGACCGGCGUGGACUGGCCCAAAGUCCCACCCACCACCAAAUGGAUCCUGUAAUGUGGGCUCGGCCCAUUUCCUUGCUUGUCCAGGCCCACCCAUCCUAUCGAUGACGUCACCACUCACAGCGACACAGGAGGACGACGUCGCCCUCGGCGCCCGCGCCCGCUUACCCCGCCGGCCGUAUACUCUACUCUAGGGAGCCUCCGCCGCCGGCAGCGGGACAAGUGAUUGGCUGGGCAAUGAUAUGGAGGAGGAGACCGGGGUGCGGCGGUGGCUCGUCGACAUCACGCGGUGGCGCCCCUCCCCCGCCCAGUUCGAUGCCGCAGCCGCCCUCCUUCCCUCGCACGAGCGGCCCGCCAUCGCCAGGUAACUCAACAGCUGCUCCCAUGUACUCGCACCACCUCCCGAUCGCCGGCGCUGCCGAGGGAGGCGCUUUCAUCUCCCCGUGGGAGACACACCUGUGGGCUGUGUGGGUGAGGGAAGCGCCGCGGACUUGGAGCUGGUGGCAUGAGAUAGAUGGACGGGAGCGCGGGAUGCACGGCGGCAAGGUCAGCGGUGGCCGACGGGCGGCAUCGCUGCGCUGUCGGUCGCCGGAUGCCAUGUCCGCCGCCCCCGAAUUUGGCCCCUGAGUUUUACCUAUACCCCCUAAUUUGGAUCGCGAUUAUUAGUCGAAUAUUUGCAAAUAGACCACUUAAGUUUACAAAUACCCCCUAAAUUGGAUCGCGAUUAUUGAUCGCGAUCCGAAUAUUUGCAACAGGCCCCUGCUAUGGUUUGGAUCGGCGCUUCCGGCUGCGAUAUGUCCGCCGCCGGCCUCCGCCGCCCCCGGUCAGAAUCGUUAAGCUCCGACCCAAAUCAAGUCAAGGGCAAACAAUUCGCUCCAUUAUUCAGUGGCAGGGGCGCUCGAUUCAUCAACAUCCGCGGUGAUCCGAGCAAGCAGCCGUGAGCUUGACUUCACCGGUUGGUUUUGGUUCCACGGCAACGGCUUCUUAAUGCUCUUUGUUCACCUUUGCAACUGUGUUUCCGCCAAUUUAGCUAGCAUGCACGUUGCGGUUACCUUAGAACAAGAUGGCAUCAAGUCGACCUCCUCCAUGCCCCUGCAGGUUUGUGAAAGAAGAUGACAGGAAGCGGGCGCUCGUCAGUCGUCUGCUGCAGUACUCGCUUGUGCACCACGUUCUCCGCAUUCCGUUUCACCAGAUCAACAUAUGCCGCACACCAGAGGGAAAACCGUACCUGGUACUUGUACACACACACACACACACACACACUCUGUCCAAUUAUCAUUCCUACAAUCAUCAUCGUUCGCUGUCAGCUACAUCCAAUAAGCAGCAAACCUUUCUGUCUGAGUGCCUGGUCGGUUGCAUUCUGUCACUGAUCACUCCUAUAUUGAUUUGUCUUGCAGCAGAAAAAUUGUUCAAACUUUCCAAACUUCAAUUUCAACAUCUCGCAUCAGGGAGACUACGUUGGCAUAGCAUCUGAGCCUCUUUGCCUCGUUGGCCUGGACAUUGUAUCCAUUUCCAAGCCCCAGGGAGAAACUACUACCGAGUUUAUCAGCAACUUCUCUUCAUACCUCACAGAUCAUGAGUGGAACUGUAUUGUUCGUGCUGGCACACCCAGUGAAGUGCUAACAGAGUUCUACAGGUAUAGCAUUUCAUUCAGGGAUUUCUUGGUAGAUGGCAUAUACAUUCAGAAUCAGCAUUUUAGAGCUAAAACUUAUAUUGGUGGAUGCAGCAAGCCAUCAAUGCACAUGGACUGUCUAUAAUGAAGUAUCCUUUGCCUAAAUUUCUUCAUAACUACCAGAAAAUUUUCUUAACCUUUGAAAUCGGUUGAGCUGGAUGUGCCUUGAAAUUUUGAUUUAGCAUAAUAAAUCUGCGGUUUUGCCAAUAAAGUGGGACUCUCGCACAGCUCCUCUUUCAGUUAGCUCGAGUGCUGAACUACAUCAGAAAAGUUGAAGGGAAUAUUUUUUUAUCUUUAGAACAGAGUAGGUCUCUCUUUUUUUUGAGAAAAAACAGAGUAGGUCUCUGUUUACAUAAUCAUGUACCUCAGAACCUAUGCUUUCAGUGCUAAGCAUGAAGCAGUUCUGGUUUUUCGUUAAGAUUAUUAAGUCGCAAUCAUGACAGUGUGAUCGUACAAAAAUCAUGCCAAUGUUAAUGAUGGUGUCACUGUUACUUCAAAUUCAGUACGACAUCACUCUGUUCUUCAAUAGGUACUGGUGUCUCAAAGAAGCUUUUGUAAAAGCCAUAGGUGCUGGAGUCGGAUUUGGGUUGCAUAGACUGGAAUUCCACCAUGAACACUGGACUGAUAUUUCUAUCCAUAUUGAUGGAGAAGUGUCUAGAAAAUGGAGAUUCUGGCUUUCCGAGCUUGAUGAAGUGCAUUUGGUAUGUAUGGAUCCUUACUACCAUCUACUUCACAUACACAGGAACCUAGUCCUACUGUUCUAGCAGUAUAUUUAAGUACAGAUACCGUCCAUCCAGUUCUAGUCUUGUGGCUGCUUAUAUGCUAACCAUCAACUAAUGGAGAUUGCAGGCAUCUAUAGCAAAAGGGCAUCCAGAGGAUGCUGUAAGCAGCUAUAAGAAAACAUUGUCCAAUGCAACCGUUGUGGAGGAACAAUUACAUUCUACACUAGAGAGUCCAGAUGGAGCUUUCACUUUGUGGACAGUGGAACAACUUACACAAUCACUGGGUAACAGCCUUACAGGUAUCAAGCAUUCUUGAAAUCUACUACAGCAGGACCAAAGGAAGAGAUGUGUGAAUAUGUUCCCAGAAUUCUAGACUCCUGAUAAUCUACUACACAGCCACAGCCACAUGGAAAGGCUUGGUUUUACCUCUGUAUUGCUUCUGUUACAGAAAGGGGUUCUUUUGGCCUUCUGUUUACCAUAACAGAACAUGACAUCAGGAGCACAAAGGUCUUCGCAAUGGCUGCAACGCCUUUAUCGUUCUAUCCUGCAUUCUUGCAGACAUGUAGUGUCAUGGGGCUAAUAAGCAUUGACGUGCCCUGCAUUGAGAAAAGAGGCAUUACUCUUGUAAUUGAGAUUUGAAAGAGAUGAAGAUAAGUGAAAGAGGAGGUUUUAGGAUGAAAUCAAUCUGCCAAUGAAGAGCAGGGGUGUGUGAGGCUAUGAGAGGCACAUGUAGAAUUGCAGGCACGCUUCGUUUUGUAGCAGCAGAAACAUCUAUUUGACUCCUAGCUCUGAUGCUUGCAAAUACUCGAAGCUGUGUUGCUGACACCUACAGUUUGGAACUGCAGUUGAUCAGUUUUGCCAGAAACAGCAAGCAGCCUAUAUCUGUCGCGAGACACCCCAACAAGGUAGGAAGGAAGGAUACCUCUCUUCCUUCCCGGCAUUCCCUCCCUACCCUCCAAACUCCAAAACAAUUUUUUGUUCCGAACUGCAAAAUUUCCCAAACUAAGCAAAAACAAUUUUCUCUCUCUGCCUCGGUCUCCAUCUCUCGUCGUCCAGGCCCGUUCAUGUCUGUGGCUGCCUGCCCUCCGCCGGAGCAGGCAGCACGCGUCCCCCGCAGCCAUGGGCCAAUGCUGCUCCAAGGGCGCCGGGAAGGCCGACGCGGACGCGGACGCGGACGCACCACCAAAGGCGGCGGAGGCGCCGAGCCGCGGCGCGUCGGCGAACCACGGCGGCCACGGACGGCCGUCGUCGUCCGCGAAGCCGGGCUCGCCCACGGCCGCCGCCGGCAGGGUGAGCACGAGCAGCAGCAAGCCGGCGGGGCCCGUGGGCCCGGUGCUGGGGCGGCCCAUGGAGGACGUUCGCACGACGUACUCGAUGGGGAAGGAGCUCGGGCGCGGGCAGUUCGGGGUGACGCACCUGUGCACGCACCGCGCGACGGGGGAGAAGCUGGCGUGCAAGACGAUCGCGAAGCGGAAGCUGGCGAGCAAGGAGGACGUGGACGACGUGCGGCGCGAGGUCCAGAUCAUGCACCACCUCUCCGGCCAGCCCAACGUCGUCGGCCUCCGCGGCGCCUACGAGGACAAGCACAACGUCCACCUCGUCAUGGAGCUCUGCGCCGGCGGCGAGCUCUUCGACCGGAUCAUCGCCAGGGGCCAGUACACGGAGCGCGCCGCCGCGUCGCUGCUGCGCACCAUCGUGGAGAUCGUGCACAGCUGCCACUCCAUGGGGGUGAUGCACCGGGACAUCAAGCCCGAGAACUUCCUGCUGCUCAGCAAGGACGAGGACGCGCCGCUCAAGGCCACCGACUUCGGCCUCUCCGUCUUCUACAAGGAAGGCGAGGUGCUCAGGGACAUCGUCGGCAGCGCCUACUACAUCGCGCCCGAGGUGCUCAAGAGGAGGUACGGCCCGGAGGCAGACAUCUGGAGCGUCGGCGUCAUGCUCUACAUCUUCCUCGCCGGCGUGCCCCCGUUCUGGGCAGAGAAUGAGAAUGGCAUCUUCACCGCCAUCCUGCGCGGGCAGCUUGACCUCGCCAGCGAGCCAUGGCCGCAUAUCUCGUCGGGAGCCAAGGACCUCGUCAAGAAGAUGCUCAACAUCAACCCCAAGGACCGGCUCACGGCGUUCCAGGUCCUCAGUAAGUAAUGCUGACAUCAUUCGUAGUAGCAAGUAGCAGCACAUAUGGAUGUCAAUGUGGCAUUGACCCGACAAAUUGACAACUUGUAGACCACCCAUGGAUCAAGGAAGAUGGAGAUGCACCUGACACGCCACUUGACAAUGUUGUGCUCAACAGGCUCAAGCAGUUCAGGGCCAUGAACCAGUUCAAGAAAGCAGCACUGAGGGUACAUAUAUCUUAUAACAACUUCACAUAUCAAACUGCUGAAGAACAAUGCUUACAAGGAAAAUUUAAAUUAUGCACUGAACCUAAAUGUAGAUCAUAGCUGGGUGCCUGUCCGAGGAGGAGAUCACUGGGCUGAAGGAGAUGUUCAAGAAUAUCGACAAAGAUAACAGCGGGACCAUUACGCUUGAUGAGCUCAAAAAUGGGUUGGCCAAGCAUGGAACCAAGCUGACAGACAGUGAAAUUCAGCAACUGAUGGAAGCAGUAAGUUUUCACUUUUCAGAUUACAAUUUUUUUUAUAAAAAAAACUGUCGUUCUAUUCACGGUUAGAACUUAGAAGGUUCAUAUGGAAAGAUCCCCUUUUGAUUCCUUUUAUAUAAUUCCAGGCUGAUGCUGAUGGCAACGGGUUAAUUGACUAUGACGAGUUCGUCACCGCAACAGUACACAUGAACAAACUGGAUAGAGAGGAGCACCUUUACACAGCAUUCCAGUAUUUCGACAAGGAUAACAGUGGGUGGGUUAAACGUUGAAACCAACACAGCUGAGACACCUGACUUCAGGACUACAGAUAUUAUAGAACACAUAUACUUCAUUUGUCUUGCAGGUACAUUACAAAAGAAGAGCUUGAGCAAGCCUUGAAGGAGCAAGGGUUGUAUGACGCUGAGAAAAUCAAGGAGGUCAUCUCAGAUGCCGACUCUGACAAUGUAAGGAACAAAUAUUAUGUAAAUUUAGUUGGUAUAAUAAACAAUAGAAACUACAGCAUCAUCAGUGUUACAAAGGGGGGACUAUACAGAAAUAGAAUCCAGUAGAUCAAAUGAUUAAAUUGUCAUGAUUAAUUGUUCCUCUACUGAUUGUAUAUGUUUUUAGUUAAGACUAAGAUUUAUUUUUGCGCAUGCAGGAUGGAAGGAUAGAUUAUUCAGAGUUUGUGGCGAUGAUGAGGAAAGGGACAGCUGGUGCUGAGCCAAUGACCAACAAGAAGAGGAGAAAUGUAGUCCUAUAGUGAAGCAGAAAGUGUGUAAUAUGUAUAGCAGCUCAAACAACCAAAUUUGCAGAACUGUACACAAACGAUUCAGUUCAUGGAUGGUUGUGCAAUAUGAUGGCGAUUCAGCAUGUGCACAUUUCAGAAGACUACUCAUGGCAUCUAUCAUUCUCAUUUGUUCUUGCAGAAAAACAGAUGAUAUGUUUGAGGGAACAUCAUCCAACAAGACCUACUGAUACAGAAAAACUUCAAUAGUUCAAUGCAACUUUCUUCACACAAAUUGCAAACUGAACAAAUGAUAAGGGUAACCAUAUGACAGAAGCCACAAUGAUGUCAGUUUAUCAAUUAAAAAAUGAGGAUAUUUGCGUGGUCCAAAACAGACCUCAAAUAAUAACAAGAUACAAUGGGCCAAUCGGGGAACCUUUCUCUACGUAAAAGAAAUGGCGAUUGCAAUGAGCACUUGCACAGACUGUACACGGAAUUGGGAGAAUGGCCUAUAUGCUAACAAGGAAGAUAUUAUAGUUUAAUUAUUUCACAGAACGUGUUUCUUGCAUGUGGCAGCAUGAAUAAAAAUACGAAAUAGAGGAAUUAGGAAGUUUGUUCUUACCAAGGAGAAUUCAGCUAGUGGUUUCUAGAGAACCCUUCACUUGCAGAGCUUCACGUUCCCUUUGGCGACGUUCUCUCUAUCAAGUUGGACAUAAAGUUACAUGAUAUACAUGGAUAAAAAAACUGGAACUUGAUUUAGUGUAUCAGUGUUACCAUGUUAGACUUUGUAUAACUUCUCAUAAAUGCGUAUAUCAAAUCAAGAAAAGAACACAUGGAUAAAAAAAAGUUCUCCACCCAAAGGCAUUAUUCUGAUACAAUAUUGCAAGAACUCCUGAAAUAUAAUCCUUAAAAUCUAUGGAGCUAAAAUUUCACAGCAACGUGCAGACUGUAGUUACUGUCAUUUUUACCCCAUCCAAGCGUUUCUACAAAAAACAGUCUCUGCACAAAUAUGCAGCAGGAAACAGGGCACCCAAAACACAAAUCCAUUUAAAAGAACACGCACGUUAUUGGCUUGCAAUUAAGAACCGCGAGGUGAUGCAGUCCUGAUCAAUGGAAAAACCCAGCAACCCGCGUCUCCCUGGCCACAUAGGCAUUUCUGCAAACAGCCGACGCGCACACUCCAAACAACAGCGAUCAGCGAGUGCUUGCAAUUAAAGGCGCGGCAGCCAGCAUUGCUCAGCCAGAGUGUCAAUAUUGCUGCUAGAGCAGUGGUAAAGGAGGAGGAUUAAAGGCUAAAUCCCUGACCUCUGCGAUCGGAAGGGCCCAAGAAAGGUGGAGGAGGACAAGUAGUGUACGGCAGUACCCUUCGUUCCCAGUAGGGGUGGAAGCAGACGAAGUCAUAGACGGGGGAGAUGGUGUUGACGAGCACGAGGUUGACGCCCAUGAAGACGAGCAGCCCCGUCAUCGGCCGCGCUCGGUGCGGCAUCUCGCUCUCUCCCCUCGCCCCUUUCCCGCCGGCGCCUUCCUCGGCCGAGACCAGGCGAGAGACGACUCCUCAACGAGCGGUGAAACACCUCAAGGACCAGAGCGAGGCGAGAAGGGCGGCUGCGUCGGAUGUUUAGCGAGAUCAAGGAGACCGGCGGCGGCUUGAGCAGGGCGGCGGCGCGGCCGGUCUGGGGCUCUGGGCACACCCGGCGCACGGCGAACUCGCGAAGCGAGAAGAUCGGUGGUUAGGAUCGAUCUCUGCCGCACAGUUCUGAUCCAACGGCUACACGUGUCCCGCCUAAGGGUGGAAGAGGUUGGCAAACUUUGCAAGUAAGAGCAACUCCAAGAGGUUGCUAAUCUUACCCCCGAUACUUUUUUAAGGGAAAAAAGAGAAAAAACGAACUCCAACAGUCUACCCAAACCUUCCCUAAUUUUUUAGCAACGCUAAAAAACAGCCUACCACCGCGUAUAUUUUAGCGUUGGCAUUCCUUCCCCAAUUUUGAUUCCCGCACGCUCGCGCGUCCCUUCCGAUGAGCCCAAUACGAUGACGUGGCCUGUUUUAAAUAUUGGGGGCUAUUUAUUAGCGAUCUGCUAUGGAUUGAUAUGUUUUUGGGGAAAUUUUUUUUGGAAGAACCCCAAAUACAUAGUUUUAGGGAAGAAUUUUUUGGAGUACUCUUGGAGUUGCUCUAAGCCCCUCGUUUCGUUUGGGGCUGACAGUUGUGUUUGCAUAAAGGCCCUUGCUAGCCAGGGUCGCGGGUCGCCACCUUGGCAGUGGGCACCUUGCCAGUAGCGGUGUUCCAAAUUUCCGUAAAUUUUAGCAAAAUUCGUGUUGAAAUUCGUCUUUUUUCCUGGUGAGCGAAAUUGGUUAAUUUCGGUUACAAAUUUCAAAAAAGAUGAGUCAGUGUGUCAUUAUAUAGGCUAUAGAAUUUAAGUGCCAAUAGGCAAAUGUUGAUGGACCAACAUAAUUCUCGUCUGGGCUCUCAUGCACAACUCUACAAGGCCCAAUACAAUGUGAGGCCCGGCCUGACCUACAUGAGUGGUGGUUGAUCCCGUACGACGAAGAAUGCGGCCGCCGCCGGCCGCCCUGCGUCGACGUCAUGGCUCGUGGGUGCCAAAUCAAACCCAACCAAAAAGCUUUAGCUUUCCCUUUGCUCGAGGGAGACGGAGAUGGCGCCCAAGAGGAAGCCUCAUGGCGACGGCGUGGGGGAAUCACCAGAUGAUGAGUUCGUAGCAAAGCCGUCGGACGACACGAAGGAAUCGUCAGCCGAGUUCGCCAGGCCGGUUUACCUUGUGGCAGCGCGCGGCCUACUCCGUCCUGGAGAUCGACGCCGCUGCCGCUGCCGCUGCCGGUGGCGACGAGCCGCCGCGCAUCCGCACCGUUGCCGCGCUGCCCCUGGCCGAGCCUGGCAUAUCUUUCGUCGCCGCGCAUUCGGAGCACGGCUCCUGGAUCGUCGGCGUCGGCGGUGGGCUAAGAGCGGGCACCAUCAUCUUCGACCCGAGGACAAUGAAGACGUUCCACGGCCCGCGGCUCGGGUACCCCAAGCACGAGCCCGUCCUGAUCUCGCACGGCGGCGAGGUAUACGCCAUCUCACACCGCCCCCGGGUGGUGCCCCGCAUCGACUGCGAGCCAUGGUUCGAAUGCCUCAGCUUCAACAAGGGUGUGCCCUCCACAGACUGCGGCCUUUGGAUCUCCUGGAGCCACCUGCCACCACCACCCUUCUUCCUCGCUUCCUGAACCCCUAUGAAUUUCGCAGUCCACCCGAAAUUUCAGUCUCAUCCUAUGCCGUCGUGGGCUCCUACAUCUUGAUUUCCCCGCAACCAGAGCUAGUGGUCGGAACUCACGCUUUUCAUGUGGUGAACAAGACGUGGGAGAAGAUCCACGACGAGAACCUGCCUUUUGUUGGCCAGGCUGUGCCCGUCGGCGGCAGCCUCUUCGCCGCCGGCCUCGUAUCCAACCAGGCUAUCACUGGCUCUGCCUCCCUGUUCCACAUGUCCAUCGAUGAUGUCUCCUCGUGGACCUCUGAUGCGGUGGUGAGCACUCCCUCAUUAUCAAUCCAAGAGUUGAAAAUGGUGGCAUCAGAGGACAAGAUUCCAUGGCCAUUCUUCUGCCCACUGGGAAAGGGCAGCUUCUGUUUGAUCAGGUUAGUGUCCUCUUGUCGCCGGCACAGACACAAAGCCAACUACUUGAAAAAGCGGCUCCGGGUUAGCUUGACUACUUUAACGGAUCGAGAACACUGAGGCUAUCAUGGCUCACUGUCAGUCCCAAGGCGCCAAGGCUAAGGACCUACUAGUUGGAGAACAAGUCAAGGAACAGAGUUAUACAUGCAAAUCCAAAGGCCUAUUUGGCAUGGCUGUGGUUGCUGCCCUCUCCAUGUAAGCAUAUGAGGAGUGUCCCUCUCUUUUACUUCUUUAGGCUAUAGCUAUCCAUUUUAAUUUCUUCUGCUGCUACUGGAUUAAAUCUUCUACAUAUUUGUUCCAGCAAUUGAACUGAAAUUAAAACUGAACUACAGAUAUCAUGGAACACAUAGCUUCAUUUAUCUGGCAGGUACAUUAGAAGAGAAGGGCUUAAGCAAGCCUAACGAGGUGUAUGAGGCCAAUAAAAUCAAAUAGAUAUGCUGAUUCUGACAAUGUAAGGAACAAAUAUUAUGUAAAUUUAGUUGAUAUAUUAAACCACAACAUUAGUAGUGUUACGAAAUAAAAUCCAGCUGAACAAAUCAGUAAAUUGCCAUGGUUAAUUGUUCCUCGUAUUGAUUGCGUAUGUUUCUAGUUUCUUAAAUUAAGAGGUUAAAAUUUACUUUGCACAUGUAGGAUGGAAGGAGGGAUUAUUCCAGUGGCGAUGAUGAGGAAAGGGACAGCUGGUGCUGACUGAUGAGCCAAUGAACAACAAGAAGAGGCGAGAGGUAGUCCUAUAGUGAAGCAGUAAGCGUGUAAUGUGUACAGCACUCAAACAAGCAAAAUUUGCACAACUUUACACAAGUGCAAUGGAGUUAUUUAUAGAUGGUUGUAUGUGUACAAUUGUGCUAUUGAUUGAAGGGGAUUUGAAUGCAAUACUUACAAAUAAGAAAGACAUGGACCAGUUCAUGGUGCAUGCUAGUAACUCCAGAAACACAUAAUAAAUUAGGCUUUAUUUUUUCAAGUAAAAUCAUGUAUGGAUGUGGGAGGGCAGAAGAGAGUUGCUGGCGAGUGGUGACCCAUGUUUGCAGUUAGGCUCCAAUGUAAAAAUACAUGUUUCCAUGCCUAAGGGAAAAAGUCUUAAUAAGCUAAUAAAGUAGGAAAUGUGCCAAGGCCAACAACAAUAAUCCAGUACAAGGAAAACAUCUUAUGGAAUUAACAAACUUUGAGAAACGAACAAGCAAGCAUGUGUAAAUCGCAACAUUAUUUUCAUUUACAUGGAUAAAAGAGUGAAGUCAAUGGGAGAGAAGCCAUGGGAAGAACUGCAAAUCUUGAAGGCCUGCUCCCUCUUGCUGGAGAUCACAACCUCCGGCUUCACGGCUGCGUGAGUUUCUCCCUCGGGAGUCUCCAGGAGGAGUGAAAGGUUCUCUGUUCGGUAGGUUGUCAAGUUUACAUGCGCCUUCCGUGGAAGCCAUUCCUCGUGCUCGGCAUGAAAGCUCAAGCUAGGCCUGCUGCCAUCGAGCGACAAACUCAGAAGCGUCCAUUGUCCAAGGAAGCGAAGCAUGACCCUCCUACAACUGCAACUUCAUGGCCCUCGUAUUUCACCGGGAGCACAGUGAUGGAUAACUUGAGAGCGUUGUUCUUGCCAGAGGCAGCGACGCGAAUGUGGUAGCCAUUGAUGGGGCCAUUGUUCUUAGAUGCGGCGAGGAAGAUGGAGCCGUGCUGGGUGGCACGGCCGACGAAGGGCAGCCUGUCGUCGUCAACCUUGUGCCACUCGUGUGAGUCGGUGUCAGAUGCGUGCGUGCCCCAUGCCUGGUUGAAGAACGAUACCAGUAUGUAGGCGCCGACCACCGCGUAGGACACGAGGAUCACAACAGGCAGCAUGGUGGAGCCAAUCGGGGUGAGCUUCCAAGGGAAGCAAGGUGGAUGCGGCAGCUGAGCCCAGGAACACCCCUCCAGGUGGCGGCGGCCGGCGACGGAGACGACGACUCUGGCCUGGGAGAGGUCGAGGACCUCGAACCACGGCGGGAAGUCGGGGUCCGAGAUCCAGGAGGGGGCAUGGGACAGGGCGUAGACCCUGUCCCCCACGGCCGCCAGCGCAGGGCACGGCCUGGCGGAGCUGAGGCUCGGCCUGCGUCGUGGUGUCGAAGAUGACGGUGUCGCCGGGAUCACCGCCGGCGCCGACCACGCCGGGGAAGGAAGCGGUAUGAAUUGGAGUCGCUUUAUUGUUGCAAGUCAAAUAAUUGUAUUAACGCACGACGGGGAUGGAAGUUUCAGUCAAAGCCCGAGAGGCAACGCAAUACAACUUCAUAUACCGUUAUUAAAAACAGAUUUUGAUACAUAUAGCAAUGAACUUAUCAUUGGCCAUCAGUAUUUGUACUUUGACUGGUAGCAAUAUCACGAGCAUUGCAAUUGUUGCUUGCUACCAUGUGUUCCAUGUUAGCACGGAAAAUUGUGCAUCUCUACGUGUUGCAGUAACAGACAACGUGCUCAUGGGCCAUGGCUCAUAAAUGAUACCCACUAACAUAAUCUCCUUUCAUGCUAUCUUACCGUACAAGAAGGCAAUCUCAUGCUCUAAGUUGACUCUUCUAACUCUUCUCCAAAUCGAUCCAGCCUUGACACCUCUGCAUCAUAAUCACGGAUUAGAGUAUGGUUAACAGAGCCAUCAUCUUCACUCGCAUGGAUUUGCCGCCCGCCAAACCUGCAAUGUGAAAAAAUGAAUAAAUUUUAUAGCGACAGAUCAAUCCAGGAGCACAAAUGGUACUUGCUCAGCAUUCUUUUAUAUAAUCAUAGAGUCAGUUGUAUUUUGAAUCAGAUGGCAAAAUUUUCCACAACGUUUCAGACCCAAAUCAACGAGGAAAUGAUAUAUUAAAGGUUUUGUGAGGGAAACAAACAUGAGAUGCAACCCAAAAUUCCAUCAGAUUCAGCUAAUAUCACCACACCAUCACUUCAUCAGAAACAAAGGAGAAAGGAAUGAUUUGGGUUGACUUACCAUCUGCCAUUCAUCUUCUCUAUGCACUUGGCGCCAUCUUUCCGGUCUUUGAAUUUCACCAACAUGACACCCUGUGGAUGAUUUUCACAAACCUGCAUGCAGAAACAUGUAAAAUUAACAACAGUGGUUUGGUGGAAACCAGAGAAGGAUGCAAGAGGCACAAUUUGGUGAGUUGCGGCUGAUCCAUGCCAAUCUGACUUCUUUUUGGAUGAUUUAUUGGUAUCUCAUUAUUAUAUUGAAACGAUCAAAAGUUCGUUUUGCAACAAAAUUGGUAACAUCUGUUUUCCAGACAAGUCAGAAAAGCUCCAUGUCUGAGGGUAGGUGUACCUUGACAUUAUCCACUGGACCAAACUUGACGCAUUCCUCUCUAACAUCUGCCUCAAGCUCAGUAAGAAGUUCUUCAUCAGCCUGCAAGGUCAGGAUAUUCUUGGUUAAUCCAAGAUAAACGAGAAAAAAAAAGUUGCUAUGCAGCAUGCACCUCAUGAGCAAAAUCUAAAAUGAUCUAAUGUGCAACCAAGUACAAGUAAGCCCAGUCCCAGAUCAAAAGCGCACAUAUUGCAGAAGGCAUCAAGAUACUUCAGCUACUUACUCUCAACUCAGCCGGAGUGAACAUGUGCCGCAAAAUAACGGUAGUAGGAAUCAUCACCUUCUUAUCAUCAUGUCCACCUAGUUAGAGGAAAUUAUGAAGAAAAAAAUGAGGUUAGAUCCCAAGUUUGAAUCAGCUAUGAUUAAAAUAACUACCCAAAAACAACGAUCAAGAUUACCCCAUCCAAGCAUUUUGUCUUCAACCUUUUUGGUCUUCCUUUUCUUUUGUUUAUCAGUUUUCUUUGCAAUGAAAACAUCACCUGAAACACAAGUAACAGCAUCAGUGAUAAGUUUUGUAGCUGAUGGCACACAGAAGGUAUUUGGUUUUUCUUAUAGAACCAUGAAACAAUACCUUUCUGCUGAAAUUCGGCCGGACUUAGAGACAUCAGAGUCUUGCCACCAGGACGGAAUGAUGUCCUAUCCAACAACUGAACUGCUAAAGCUACAGAAGGCUCCUGUAUCAUGGAAAGGGAAAAGCACAUGAAAAAGAAAUGCAUAGUGAUUCCAAAUAUCUGAGCAGCUUAACAAGGGGAUACCUUGAGAUAUGUCACCAAGGCAUCUCCCUUUUUCCUCCCAGUUUCCUUAUCAGUAUAGAUCUUCACCCGGGGCUUUUUAGUCUCAGGGUCCUGUAAUAUCGAUUAUCAACAACACGUGUCCAAUGCUUUAAAGUUUAAGAAAGAAAUGUAAAUGCCACAUCACAGCCAUAUCCUUCAAAAACAUAAUAUUAAUAAGAGAAACAAAAAUAGUUAUUCAAGUAAAGUAAAUGUCAAAUAAAUCUUGUAGUAUUUUUUCAGUCUUAAGGCGCCCACAGCGUUUCAUAUAUUAACAUUAUAUCCACCUAUAACUUAUGGGCAUUGUGCCAAUAUCUAGUAUCAUAAUGCAUGCUGCAAGUUUGGACAACUGAAAUUAGCUAAUUGCUCAAUUUGAUAGUGAAAUAUAUAACCAAUGAGUUGAACAGUUUGCAAAAAUGAACAGACUUGACAUGAAGAAUUGAAGGUCCCAAGAUUCAGAUAAGUCAAACUACAAAGUUUUUGCCAAUUAGUUACAUUCUCAGAUGGCAAUUAGUUACAUUCUCAGAUGGCAACUACAUACUAGUCACUAGUCCAAAUACUGGCAAAACCAAGUUUCUUCACAAGAGAGAAAAAUCAAAACAUCACCAAGAGUGAAUAACACAAACGCAACAGUUUUGUCUUUGCAACACAGCAGAUUAAAAGCAUACCUCCUUUAUUAUUCCACACUUGGAAAAUACCUCCACGAUCUGCAAAAGAAAUCCAGCAUCAGAAGUUCAGAACAAGCGUUUCAAGAAUAACCAACUGAUUAAGAAUGUGUUAAAUGGUCGUUCAACAAAAUGAUCUCCUAGAGAAAUGAAAUGUGGUUACAGAAUUAGUUCAUACAAGUAAUUUACCUCCUCCAGUGUGACAUCAUCAGGCAGUCCAUUUACAUAGACAUGUGUGUUGACUUUGAGAUCAAACCAACUGUCUGGAGGUUUGUUAGCUUCCUACCACAGAAGUCCAACAGAUAAGUACAAGACUAGAUGCGACCAAACUUACCAAGAACUCCUACAAUGACUUGGAAACAAUACCUUCUUUUCAGCUGUUUUCUCAGAAGAUUUCCGUUUCUUGUCCCCUCUCUUUUCCACUUUGUCUAAUUCUUUGUUCUUGUUUUCAUCCAGUGUGUUGACUUCUUCUACUGCAGAAGUACCAGGGAUAUCUGGCGCCUGAAAUACUUCUUCCUCAAGUGCAAAAGUCAUCUCUUCAACAGCAUAAUCUUCCUCUUUACCUGAUGUGUCAUUCUACAAAGGCGUAACAAAAACUAUAAAAAAAAUAAAGCUAGCAAAGAAUAUUAAAAAGGUGAGGGGAAAGUUGUUG